This 83799-nucleotide long non-coding RNA is filed under the name Theobroma cacao (cacao). RNAcentral describes it as "long non-coding RNA (TCAC_LNC000089)". The record is from RNAcentral. Lineage: Eukaryota; Viridiplantae; Streptophyta; Magnoliopsida; Malvales; Malvaceae.
AAACUGCAGUACUUGAAAGUUGGAACAUUAGAAACAAAUUAUCAGGAACAUAGGAAAGAUGCAGGGUGAUUGCCACUGAAUGCUAAAUUUUAAUAGAUCCGGCAUGUCUUAUUAUCCUUACUACAAGGGGUGGUUCACUAGGACCAGAUACGCUGUCUUUUUCACUUGUAUUUGUAUUUCCAAGAGAUAAAGCUAUCGGGACAGGCUGAUAGCCAACACCAGCACCUGGCUUAGCAAGUCGAAAUGGUUUGCAGAAGAGCCAUACGUGAUACUGUUUCCAAUGAUUUCUUCCUCUCCUUCUUCUUCAGCUAGCAAGUGGGCCGGGGGCAAGUCCAGGCCAUCCUGUUCCCAUUCUUCAGUAUCCAUGCCCCAUUCAAGAUAAUUAAUUCCUGCCAUCGCUAAAGCUUCUAUUGAAACUGACAUGAUUUAUGAAAAUUGGGUCUUCUCUUGUUUCGAAUUUGCUCUUGCAACAAAGAACAAAUUAGUGUGUAGAUUGUUUGAGAACUGAGAACGACUACAAUCUUAUUUAUAGUAAAAGCAUCAAAAAACAAGUACGCAUUUAUAUUACGCAUAUGAUUUUAUGAUAGGAAUAAGAUGCAGAUUUCUCAAAAUUCACGAGCAGCAUGAAAAUCUCAUGCAUGUUUCUCUUCAAUUCUUAAAAUGGGUUUCCUUUUGGAGAGUUCAUAAGACGUAUAGUCAUCAAAGAGGCAACAGUCUCGUGAUUAUAUAGGCAGCUUUCUAUCGACUAAAGGCAUGACGCAAGCUUGGUCGCUGAUGUAUGUAUUCACCCUGGUGAGCCACUUGAGCAAUGAUGUUGUUUUUUUUUUUUAAAUUAAUUGGAUUUCAUUAUCAGAAACCAGGAAUAGGUUCCUUGGAGAACAAAAGAGCACAUGAUUUUAAGAUGCUAUGCCUUGAUCAGCAUAUCAUCUCAAAAUCUUGUCAUCUUGCCUAAAGAAAAUCAGCUUACAAAGAACCCCAUAAAAACCCCUAUCAUCAAUAUACAAAAAACAAAAUCAGAAACAGCAAAUAGCCUCAAUAAGAAACCCCAGGCCUCUCUGUGCAAAAGUCAUUCCUGAAGGGAGAACCAGCAAGCUUGCAAUCUGAUAAAAAACUCAGUGCCUCAUAUCACGGACCUUGGCUCAAAAGCCUAACCAUCUCAGCCAAACAAAAGUCAAAAAGCAACAGAGAGAAACGAUCAAACCUGAAGCUUGAAUUCUUCACGCAGCCAUUCAAAGAAGAAGAAAAAAUCUCCAGCCUCUUUACUACUCAAAGACAUUCAAUAAAUUCUCCUGACGUCUGACCCCUUCUUUUGCUAGACUAUCUGCGAAUUGAUUCUUUUCUUUGAAUAUAUGGUUGACUCCCAUCCUUUAAUGCUACUUUUCAAACUUUCAACGCGCAUGAUCCACUUCCUUAGCCUCCAAGGAGAUCCAGUUGGUCCAUUAAUCCAUUUGACUAUAUUUUUAGAAUCUGACUCAAUUAUCAGUUUGUGAGUCUGGCUCCAUUUUUAGAAUCCAUUUGGGCAAUGAUGUUGUGACCCUGUACCCUAAAGAAGCAAUUGAAGAGUUGUUGACAAAAAUUUCAGAAUCUUAUUUAUAACCAGAUCCAUGAAGAAAUUAAAAGAGGUUACUAAUAAAUAUUUUCACCAAGAAUUAGAGGGUAAAGUUAAUAACUGAUUGGACCAAGUGUUAUCACCUAAUGAUUUGAAUGUAUGGGUUUCGGCUUGUUUAUGAUGUGGAACACAGUGUCAAGCUGGCUUCAUAAUCAGUGUUGAGUCCUAUUGGCAACUGUAGACACUUAAAAUAAAUCAAUAAAUAAAUAAUUUUAAAUUAUAAUAAAAUGAAACAAAAUAAUAAAAAAUAAAUGAAAAAAAAAAGAAAUAAGAUCCAAAAAUCUACCAGCAGAAGUUAUCUAGCCACAAAAAAUAAAAAAAUAAUAAAAAAAGCAGCCAAAAAAAUCCAAUCGGGGUUUCAACGGGGGAGAUUCGGUUCGGUUUGAGGGAGAGAGACUGGUGAGCUGUGAGGGGAGAUUAGAUCUUUGGGGUGCCGAUCAUCGGCAGGGGAAAGCUUAAACCCGUUUGGGUCACCGUCUACCGAGGCAGGGGGUGCCAGAUACAUCGAUCGGAAGGGAAGAGGGCUUCGAGGGAAAGACAUAGGAACAUCUGGGCCGUCGGUCGGAGGGAAGCAAAAGGGGUAGUACGCCGGCGCCGGCAAGAAGAGGAAAUGGUUUUUAGAGAGAAGGCAGAGGGUAGCCGGCUAGAGAGAGAAAAUGGAAUCUGAAAAUGAAAGGAAAGGCCAAAAAUGGGAUUUAUAUACACAAGUUUAGGGUCUAAACGGUGCCGUUUCAGUAGGGUGGGGAAUUAAAGGGAUCAACGCCUAAACGACGUUGUUUGAGGGAGUCUCCAGAGCCCCAAAACGGUGCGUUUAGGGGAAAGCCAGACGGACCAAGGGAGUAGGCUUGGGACGCCUCCGUGUAGCCUAAACAACUUAAGCCAUCAUUCUAGCCCAAGCAAGGUGAGGCCUUACCCGUUUAUUGUGGAUUUGGGCUUGUUAUUUUGAGCUUAUCCAGUUUAUUUAAUUAUUUGCUUAGUUUAAAUAAAAAUUAAAAAAAAAUAUAAAAAAUAAUAAUAUAUAAAUAAUAACAAUAACAAUAAUAAGUGAAUAAAGAAAUAUUUAUAUUAUAAAUAUAUUUGAGGCUUGCAAAUAAUAAAAUAAUAAUAAUAAUAAUAAUAAUUCAUGAUACAAAUAUAUAUAUUUAAAAAAAAAGAAAAAUAAAUAAAAAAAUAUAAAAAAUAAAUAAUAUAAUUGAAACAAUUAUUUGAGUAUUACCAUCUAAAAGGGGUAAAGAGUUGCCUCUUUCGGGUGGAUGUUUUUCGGGUGCGAAGUUCGAGACGGAUUUUCACCGAAACGUCGGGAUAUAUCUGAACUCUAAACUUCAAAACCCGUUAAGUCGAAUAGUCGUUGUUAAAAAAUAAUAUAUGUAAGAAAAUUUUGUUGCAUUCGAAUUAAUGUAAUUGGUUAAUGAGCUUAAAUAAAUAUUACUAAAUAAAGUUAAUUUAAUCGUUUAAAAAUUAAUUAAUUAUUUAUUUGAUAAGCUUUGUAAUCAAGUAAAAAAUUAACAAACAACGUUAAAUAAAGGAUAUGGAUUUAAAUAGAAAACUCAAAAAAAAUAUAUAAAAAAUAAUAAAUAAUCCAAAAUUUUUUUAUUAAACAUAUAAUUGGGUGAAUUAUAAAUCACCUAAAUCAAUAAACGCGUGCACGUAGAUAUCAUCAUUUUAUCCUGUCAUAGCAUGCCACAUUUAUCUUGCAAAUGAUGCGGGAGUCCCGAUGAUGGGAUUUCCCCGAAGAGAUUGUAGAGACGAGUUCUUCCGGGGAUAUCUCUAGGUGAGGAAAAUUUCGAGACUUCACCAAAGCGUUGGGAUGGUUUUCGAAUGAUUUUUCAAUAAAAGAUUACCGAUCCCAUUAUUCAAAAUAAACAAGUCAUGACAUCAUUUUACGCUUGCAUCAUGUGCAUACGUAAAACCAAAUAAAAACUCUCAGUCGGUCAAUUUAAUAAAAAUUUAAUUAAUAAGUAAGGAUUAAAUUAAAAGUAGGUUAUAUUAAGAUAACUUAAGAUUAAAUGGUACCGUUCGUGGAACGGGCGCCACGGAGGUGCUAACCCUUCUCCGUGCGUAACAGCACUCCCGAACCCAUCUCUAAAAUGUGGACCAGUUCUCGUUCUUUCGAGGAACCUAAAAUUAAUUUAGAACUUUGUCGAUUAGAAUCGGGUUAAUAGGUAACCAAUCACACCUAGAUAAAAAAAGAUUGGUGGCGACUCCUAAACCAUCUUAAUUUUCGCCCGCGUCUGACGGACGGGUUCUCGGACCCGCACGUUACGACAGCAACCAGAUAUAUGAUAUUGUUGUAUUGUAUCUUUAUACGCAAGAAAGGACAUGUUAGGGUCUCAUGUCUAGCAUGUGCUUAAUAGAGGUGGUCCAAUAAAUUUAAAUGUCUAAAACGAAAUAUUCAAAUGAGAUUUUUUUUAUUGAAAUUAAAAAAAUUAUUAAAAUUUUAUUUUUUAGCUUUUUGAGAUGUAAAAUUUUUAAUUAAACUUUUAUAAUCAAGUUUAAAAUAAUAGUACCUAAUUGUUGAAUGUUUUUUGCAAACCGCAAAUGAGGCUCACGAUUUUAUGAAGAUAAUAAAAGAAUAGACUUCUUGUGUAUUCUUGGGAGAAAAUUGAAAUUAAAGAAAAAAAGAGCAAAUGAGAAAAGAAGAAUUCAAAAGUGGAUAUUGUAUAUUGAAAAAAAUAAUUGGUUUAUAUAUAGGAAAAAAAUAGUUGUUGGAAAUCAUUAAAUGAGUUGAUUGGAAAUAAGAGAAAUAAGUGAGAAAAAAAUUGUUGUUGGAUAUUAAAUACAUAUGAUCAUUAAUUGAUUGAAAAUAAGAUAAUAUAGUUGAGAAUUAAUAACAUUUUAGAAAUAAGAAAGUGAUAGAAAAUUAAGAUUUAUUAAACACAUAAUUAGAAAAGUGAUAAAAUAAAUAAUUUUAUUAAUUAUUUUUAAUAUAAUUAAUUAUAUUAUAAUUAUUAUAAAAUUAUAAAUCUUUCUUAAAUUUGAGAUCUCUCUCAAUUGGGGGCUAAAGCUCUUGCUUGGGUGACUUCACUCAAGGGUCGGCUCUGGUGCUUAAUUGCAUCACAACCACAACGUAAGAGUAGAAUUUUGUAAUCAAAUUUCAGUAAUGAAUAUAAUCUUGAUAUUCUUUCAAAAAAAAGUUAAUAACUGAUUUAUAUAAAACCAAGUAAUGUUUUGUUAAGUUGUUAGAGUUAAGUCGAAUCUUAUCAUCAUGGGUGAAUUGUCAUUUAAAGGAUUUUAAUAAGUUGGUCAGGUGACAUAUUUUGGGAUCGGGCAAGAAAUUAAGGGACACAGGGUCGGGGUAAAGGAUUUGCAUUCCCCCUACCAUAGUGAACGUUUCUGUGGAAACCGAUCACUUGAUUUUAUGCAAACUAUAGCUGUAUCCUCUAUUUUUUUCUUCUCUUCUUCAUAUAUUUUUAUUUGCUACUCACUUAACUAUACAUUAACUUUUAUUCAAAAUUCACCUUCUAAUUAAUUAACAUGAAAUCAAGUGGAAGUUUCUAUUCCAACUUAAAGGGAGAAGAAAAUGGAAAAAGGGCCAAAGGGGAUUAAUGUGAGGUAUUAAUCAUAAUGUAAGAGAAGCAACAACAUCACGUGAUCACACUGUUGACCAAAGAACAAAUCGUACCUUCAUCUUGCCGUACAAUAUUGAUUCAUCGAAAAUUAACGUAAAUCUUGCUUCCCCUCCUGUCAGGGUAGAGUUAGUAAAUUUUUAUUGGAGGGCUAAAUAUAGAAGAAUAAAGAUUAAAAUUUUAAAAAAUUAAUAUGUUAAAUUUAAUUAAUAAUCAAAAGAUUGAUAAUAGAAAUAUAAAACUAUAAUAUGUAAAAUACAAAUAAUUAAAAAUGAUAUAUAAGAUUAAUAAUUUUUUAUAUAAUCAAAAUUAUUUAAAGACAAUAUGUUCAAGAUAAUUUCAUUUCAACUAAAUAUAAAACGUAAAAGAUAUAAAAAAAUAUACUCAAAUUAAUUUUCUCUUACAUAAUUAGAAUUAAUAAAAAAAUGAUACAUUAAUGAAAGUUUAAAUAACAAUAUAACAUUACAACUUAAAUUUGAGAAUUAUAUAAUAAUUUAUUAAUUUUUAAAAAUUUAAAAUGAUUGAAAAUAAUCUACGUAACAUAAAAAAGAAAAACAUAGCAAAUAAAAUAUAGAAACCACAUAAGACAUAACAAAAAAGAAAGAAAAAGGAUAUGAUUAAUGAUUUGUAGAAAUUUGAAAAAGAAAUUAUAAAAAUUUAGAACAUAUGAGUAAAUAAAAUAGAAAUAAAAAAAAUAAAUAUAAAUAAAAAAUAUAUAAAUUNAUAAUCAAAAGAUUGAUAAUAGAAAUAUAAAACUAUAAUAUGUAAAAUACAAAUAAUUAAAAAUGAUAUAUAAGAUUAAUAAUUUUUUAUAUAAUCAAAAUUAUUUAAAGACAAUAUGUUCAAGAUAAUUUCAUUUCAACUAAAUAUAAAACGUAAAAGAUAUAAAAAAAUAUACUCAAAUUAAUUUUCUCUUACAUAAUUAGAAUUAAUAAAAAAAUGAUACAUUAAUGAAAGUUUAAAUAACAAUAUAACAUUACAACUUAAAUUUGAGAAUUAUAUAAUAAUUUAUUAAUUUUUAAAAAUUUAAAAUGAUUGAAAAUAAUCUACGUAACAUAAAAAAGAAAAACAUAGCAAAUAAAAUAUAGAAACCACAUAAGACAUAACAAAAAAGAAAGAAGAAGAAUAUAGUUGAUGAUUUAUAAAAAUUUGAAAAGAAAAUUUAUAAAAAUUUAGAACAUAUGAGUAAAUAAAAUAGAAAUAAAAAAAAUAAAUAUAAAUAAAAAAUAAUAUAAAUUGAUAGAAAAAUAAAAAAUUUUAAAAUUGAGUGAGAUAUGUGAAUCAUUUUAUUAUUCUUUAUUUAUAUUAAUUAUUAAAUAAAAAAUUAUUUUGAGAGGAUCAUUAAUAAAAUAAAUAAAUAAUUUUAAAAAUUUUAUAUGUUAAGAAAAUUUUUUUGAAAAUUUUGGAGGGGUCAUGGCCCCAUCACUUAAGGAGGCUCUGCCCCUGCCUCUGAUAGAUAUGUUUGGAAAAUUAUAAGCAGCGUUGAGGGAAGCCAUGAUGCAAGCUUAAUAGGUAGCUUAAUUAAUUAAUUAAAUCAAUUAAAAAGGCCACAUUCUCGUGACCUUAUACUUUGAGCAGUAAUUAGAAUUUUAUUAGAAAAUUUCAUCCGAAAAGAGCAUUAGGAAUGAAUUGCUCACAUAUGUAUAUGGAACAUUAAAAUCACAUGUCUGUAAUGAUGAAGGCGUGUGAAUUAUAAAGGUGUGUGAACACUACCUCAUCAGUCAUUGCCACUUAGCCAAACAAGUCAAAGAUUUAUGAAUUGGUCAAUUAAGUUUGAUUUCUUAUACACGGUACUCCAGCAAUUUCUCAAAUAAAGAGUUUAAUUAUUGAAUUCAAACUCUGAACCAAUUAUGUCUAUAUUUUUCAACAGGAAUUGUCUUAAUUAGAAUAAAAACACUAUAUUUAUUCUUUCCGUCAUAACACUUGACAUAUAAUUAAUUUAAUUAUGUGCAAAAUUACACAUAAAAUAAAAAAUAAUAAUGUAACAACAAAUUAAAAUAUCACUCCAUCUAAAAUUUUUAACUUGUAAUGGAAAUCUUGAUAUGUAGCAAUCUUUAGAAGAGUGAAAGCGUUUUAUUUUUAUUUCAAAGCAUUUAAGAAUUGUAGUAUAAUAUAACGUUUUAAUUUGGUUGAUGGUCAAAUAUUUUAUGCAAUAACAAAAGGUAUAGUAUAAUAUAACCUCAUUGACACUCGGUGCACCAAGCUUAUCCUUUGCUUCUUUUUGCAAAGAUCAAGCAAAGGUCAGUGACUCAGUGAACACAACAUAUUUUUCUUAUGUUUAUUUUCGUGUUUUUUUUUGUUUUAGUUUAGAUUUAUUCUGUUAUAAAGAAGCAAGAAAAUAGAACAACUUAUAGCUCUGUUUGUUUGGUUUAAAUAUUGAAACAUUUUUCUUUACAAUAAAUAGUAAAUCAAAACUAAACUAAUUUUACGGUCUUGGUAGUUGUUAAGUUGUUGAGUUUAGUCUUUGAAGGUGAUGAUGAGAUGGUAUCAAUAAAUUGGUUGAGUUAGAGUGAGGACUGGGAACCCAUUCACAUUAAUGUUUUCAUUUUUUAUGCCUUAUUAUGCGUUGGAUUGUUUAUAUUUACUUUAAAUUCUUUGUUUAUCAAUAAAUAUUCUCUUUUAACUUUAAAUUCUUUGUUUCCAAUGGAGGAAUUGUUUGAGGUUUUACUAACUAAUUGCAUAGCUACUACAUAUACCAUUCUCCACUGCUACGUUAAGAAUUAAGAUCGGGUAUUGCACUCUGUCAAUGAGAAGUAGAUUAAAAGACUUUAAUCAUUUAUUUUGAGGAAACAAAUUUGAUUAUGAUUUAGCUCAGCUUUAACCUUAAUUAACUAUUUCAAAAUCAAGAAUUAAUCAGUUAGCAUAUAUGCAAAUAACCAAUCAAGCACCACUAAAUUGACAUGUUCAAAGAUGUUAGCAUUGGUUAACGAAUUGUUAUAAAAUCAAUACUACUCCGUUUCUGGAUUGCCAUGAGAGGGGUUUUUGUGGAGUUAGCUUCACUCGCUUUGUCGGAUAGGUGGAUCAAUGAGAGCUUUUUAGGAAUGUCUUGAAUGGGAUGUUUGGGUUGUGGCCCAUUGCCUGUGGCUGCUGUUUUUUUUUUUCGCGAGAGUCACUCCUUUCUCUCUUGAGGUGACUGGAGAGUGGUUUUGGGUCUCUUCAGGGGGUUCUUUUUUCCGUUAUUUUUUUUAGGAGAUGUUGGCUUGAGCUGGCUGUUUUGUUCGUGGUUCUUCGCUCAGGUUCUUCAAGGUUGCAGCUCGGACUAUGUUGAUGGAGGUUGGCGAUGGUAGGAGUUGUAAGUGCACCUUCUUGCAUGGCACUUGGGAGGUCCUUCAUGUCUAAGGGUUGAGUUUUCUCUCUCGGCUUCAUGUUCGUGCUUUAGAGGGAAGCGGUUCUACUUUCGGCCAUCUUUUGACUUCUGAAUAUGCUAGCUUUUUUGUUGAUUCGUUCCCUAGUUAGGCUUUGGUUCUUGGUUGAUUUGAUCUGCUGUGAUGCUUGUUUUUUGUUUCUAAGCUUCUGCAGAUGCUGAGUGUCGUUUCUCCAACAGCCACUAAUUUUUGUGAGUGGCAACUCUGUUUUGUAUGUACAGUCUUUCUUCCCAAACCGGGUUGCAAUGCCAUCAGAGUCUCUCGCCAAUUAGGCAAGAGACUUCACAUGGUAUCCCCGUUAUGGAAAAUAAAGUUACUUUUCAAUAUAUAUUCCCAAACCGGGUUGCAAUGCCAUCAGAGUCUCUCGCCAAUUAGGCAAGAGACUUCACAUGGUAUCCUCGUUAUGGAAAAUAAAGUUACUUUUCAAUAUAUAUAUAUAUAUAUAUAUAUAUAUAUAUAUAUAAUAAAUGUUUAUUAAAAAAUGUUGAUAUGAUGGUAAAAAUGAAGUAACGGUGGAAAGUAUGAAGGAAUUUAUAACACUUAUGGAAGUAAUGAUUGUGACUAAAUAAUAAAAUAAUGCACUUGAAGUUCAAAUUUUGAAGAGUAAGAUCGCGACAUUUAUGAUGUCUCUUAAUUUUCUGCAUUUGAAUCUAGUUACUUUUUUAAUAUGCAGACAAUAGCACAUUUAAGUUUAUGUUUAUAUAUGUUUGACAUUUUAAAAUAUUAUGUGUUUGUAACGAUUUUUACUCCCAUCAACUUGAUUUUGAAUUUUAUAUUUUAAUGUGUAUUUUUGUUAAGAAUUUUGGAUGUCAAUUAUGAUUUACAAAGGUUGAUUAUUAUGAUUUUUAUUAACUUCGUUAGAAAUUACAAAUAAAAUUCCAUUGGCAAUGAUUGAAUUACCGACGAAAUUCCAUUGGUAAUAUUAAAAAAAUUUCAUUGAUAAUAAUUCAGUUACUUACGGAAUUUAUUUGAUAAUUCCAAUGAAAAUCUACAACUAAUGACUAAAUCAUCAAUGGAAUUUUAUUAAUAAUUUCUAAUGAAAAUCUAGAGGUAAUGAAUAAAUCAUUGACAGAAUUUCAUUGAUAAUUUUCAAUGAAAAUCUGUAAGUAAUGACUACAGUAUGUACAAAAUUUCAUUGAUAAAUAAUUACGAAAUUUCACAAGUAUUGACGAAAUUAUCAAUGAAAAAUUUCAUUGAUAAUUAUCGACAGAAUUCCGUUAGAACAAAAUUAUCAACGAAAAAUUCUAUCGAAAAUUUUUUAUCUUUUUUGAUGGAUUAAUAUUAAAAUAAUUGAAAAUAUUAUAAGUUUUUAUGACGAAAAUUUUCAUUGAAUAUUUUCAAUUGAUUUUCAACAAUAAGUAUUACCGUCGAUCACUUUAGUGAUAAAAUUUCUAACGAAAUUUUUUUGUUGAAAAUUUAUUCGAAAAAGUCAAUUUAAAGGAAUUUUAAUUUUUUUCGAUAAAAAAUUCCGUCGAAAUUAAUAUGAUUUUUGAUAAUGAACAGUAAAAGUGUGAUUUCUUUUUUUAUCCAAAAAAUUUAAAAGAAAACAGAAAACAAGGCCUUCUAACUUCGUGUAUGAAGUUAUUCUUCUUGAAUUCAUGGUUGUAACCAAAUUUAUCUCUUCUCCGAGUUCUGGUAUACUUGACUGCUGGUGAGGGCCUCUGUUAUUGUCCUUGUUAGUGGCAAAGGGCCUUGAACUAAAUUUUUGCUCUUAGUCAAGUGGUGUACAUGGUUGUAUUUUGCUUCUGUACAGAUUGAGAGGAGGGAGAUGGAUUGUGAUAUUUUUUUCUGUAACUCACAGCUAUGCUCCGGAUGGGCAGGGAACUACGAUAACAACUGGGUCAUGCCUUUUUUAUGAGCUAACCUCAGUGCCGUUUUUGAGUGUGAUGCAAAUUUUGUAGGUGGGGGAAAGGCAAGGGGUGCUGUGCAGGGCAUUUAAGGUGACUUUGCAACAAGGCUUUGGAGAAAGAGAUAUAUCCCAUGAACCAAUUGCACAGUUGCUGUGAGCAUCAUUCUUUUCUAGAUUUUGUUCCUUUCAAUUGUUUUAUGCCUUGCCACGCCACUACUUGGAUGAACAAAUAUCGUACAAGGAAAGGAAAACACAAAAGGAUUUCUUUUUUUUUUGUUGUUGUUUUGUUUGUUUUUCCUCUGGAUUAAGAAUAAAGACCAGAUUGAAGAAGUUGAAGAGACCACAAUAUAUGAUUAUAACAACAAAGCCGAGAGCAACCUUAAGAAAAUUCAUUCAAAAAAAAUAUUUGAACUGAAUUCAUCUCUAUUACAAUGAGCUCUAUCUUGAGUAAAUAGUAUAAUAAUUUGAGUGUAAUUAUUUUGACAACGAACUUUAGUUUGAUUUUAAUUAAAUAUUAUUAUAUUUAAUUUGACUCAAUUAACUCAGUUUAUUUUAUUUACGAAAUAAGAUAAACUUCAAACACUUUAAUUAAAUAAAAAAUUUUUAUUUAAAUAUAACUUAAUUACAUAUUUACUUGACCAAACAUGAAAAAAAAAUCGAAUCAAAAAUGUACAUGUUCCAAUUUUUUUGAAAAUAUUACUGUAUUUGUCACUUUAAUUUUUUUUCUAAAAUAUUGGAAAUGUGGGAAACUGAAAGAAAGCACAUGUGCGUCACAUGCUAUUGCUAUUUCACCAAACUCAAGUACUCAACAAUAAUAUGACCUCGUCCGCUGUCAUAAACCCAACAAGAAAACGAACAGGAACCCCAAAAAAAACAAAAGCACCGCCAAAAAGCAACUUCACAGUGCCAAAAAGCAAAGAAGCCGAAAACUCGAUGAAAGCAAAGUAAUUGGCAGCCUCGGUUAUGGAAGCCAAGUCGGGGAAUUAUCGCCAGCAUCUUUCUCCAUAUUCCUCAUCACUAUCUUACCAUUUGUUCCAUUCUCUCUUUUCCUUCACGCCUCUCUGACUUUCCUCUUAUAACCCACUUCGAUGCUUUCUCUUCCUUGAUUUCCUUCGAGACCUCGCAUUGUUUUUUUAUCUAAUAAUUGGAUUUUUUGCUGUUUCUUUUUCUUUUUGCUGCAAUGUACGGCACAGAUCGCUGCGUGUUCAUUGACUCGAUGAGGACUUCACAACAGUUGAAUCUUGAUCGUCCAUUUUUGUCAGGUGGCUUGUUUCUCAACGACCAAACACUGCCUUCCUCGAUCGUUUCAUUCAUUUCGUUCAAGACCCAGAAAUGUUUUGUUGAUAAAAAUGACAAUUUGAGUUUGGUUUCGUGUUUCGUGAGUGGUGGGAAGAGUAGUAAAAGGCUGCGUUCUGUAAAGUCGAGGAGAGAUGGUGGUAAAGGGGGCUGGUUUUUAUCGGUGAGUUUGUCGAGGGAGGAAGGGUAUGUUGGCGAAUCAGGAGAAACUUGGGGGCAAAAUGGGGAUAAGAACAUGGAAGAAGAGGAAGUGGUGGAAGAGGAGAAAGAGAAGUUGAAAGUAAAGAAGGGAUCAGGUGCUUUGAAUACCACCAAACAUCUUUGGGCUGGUGCUGUUGCUGCUAUGGUUUCAAGGUUUUGGCUUUUUUUUUUUUCUCUAUUUUAAUUUUUUUCAUUUAUAUUUUUGGGCUAUAAAGUCUGAAUUUGUUAUGUGAAAAAUGGUAGGGAUGGUUUUAACUUUUAUAUCUGAUAGAACAUUAAAUGACAAAAAUUUUCUCGUAAUUCUUUUCUUAGACUUUUUUUUUGUGGUGCUGUUUGGCAAAGUGUGAAAUAUUAAGAGCUGACUAGUCAGGACCCUAAAUUCUAAGUGAUCAAAUUAUAUAACAGCUUGAUAAGUAUGAGUGCUGGAAUUGAACAGAACAUAAGUUAAUAGUAAUGUGGCAAAUGUUAAGAAGAAAGUGAGUUGAUAAUAUGAUAAUGGUUUAAAGAUUAUAUUCAUUUUACUUAAUAUGUUAGGCGAUAAUUUCGAAUUUAUUGUUGAAUUGAAAGCUUUAUCAAGCACACUUGUUACAUGAUGGUGCAGAAAAGGUUUUAUGGUAUACCUUUCGGUUGUACUUUUACAUCUCCUAUGAUACAAUGAUAUUGCUCAUAGUACCUUAAUUGCUUGUAAUUCAUCUCCAGUUGUUGAAUUAGUAUCUAUUGAAUCGCAUUUCGUGGCUCAAAUAGUUGUUUGCUUUUGUAACAGGACUUUCAUUGCUCCUCUGGAGAGAUUGAAGUUGGAAUACAUUGUUCGUGGUGAACAGAAAAACCUUAUUGAACUAAUUAAAUCUGUUGCAGCCUUAGAAGGGUUGAAAGGUUUUUGGAAGGGGAAUUUUAUCAAUAUUCUUCGCACUGCUCCUUUUAAGGCUAUAAAUUUCUAUGCAUAUGAUACUUACAGAAGUCAACUAUUGAAAUUUUCUGGAAAUGAGGAAGUGACAAACUUUCAGAGGUUUCUUGCCGGUGCUGCAGCUGGGAUUACUGCUACUUUGCUUUGCUUACCUAUGGACACUGUAUGUAACAGUUUAAGACUUCACUAAUUUGGUUACAUAUUUAGCCUCCUCUUUUUGUAUUAUGUGUGGUCUGGUUGGGGUGUGGGGGAUUUUGUGGAAUUUGAUAUCUUCUUGUUUUGAAGUAUUCAUAGUAUAUGUUCUUAGAUUUUGCUGCAUGAUCUGAUGAGAUGCAAGGAUGGGACUGGAAGUAACAUGCUUCAGUGAGUUUACUCUGCUUGCCCUUGUAUGUAGUGUACGGAAACAGGAUGAUCCUCUUCUUGAUGGGUCCCGCCUCUUCAAUCUUUAUGGUUUAAGUGCUGUUGUAUUUACUUGUGAUUUCUGUCUCCAAGAUUUCACAUGAUGCCAUUGUUAAGCUGUCUCUUUUAUUAUAAAACUUGGAUAAUAAGUUAACAAUUCAGUGUCCUAAACUGAAACAUGUAGUUUCUGUCCCAAGAAUAUUAUACUUAAGAUUAUCUGAUUUGGAUUGGGGUAUGGGAUUUGGAUGUUUUGAUGUCUAAUGGAAAUCAUGUGAUGAGAUAUUCCCUUCAUGUAUGCGAGGCACUUUUAAGUCCAUAUUCUUUGUUAUUGCAUAGUAACGAUUCCGCCUCUUUUUCACGACACCUCUUUAGAACAAGGUAAUAUCAUGUCUUUGGUGACUUCUACAUGUCCUACUUCUACAAAAACUUUUGUUAUGGAUCCAAGUCAGCAACAGAUUUAAUUUUUUUUGAAUACUAUUUGCUUAACACUAGUCUGAUGAAAUUAGUUGCAUCCUGUUCCAUGUCUCCAACCUACGUUAGUUAUUGUAAUAGAUUCUUUGUAAUUUGAUGUCUAUGGCUUAUUGAGAAUUCCAUUCGCUUAUACUUAUUCACAUCUUGUGGUCAGAGUAGAUGGCCUUCCCUUUUUGUACCUUUUUCUGGUACAGUUGGUUGCUAUUAUGUUAGCUAUGUGAAUGGUGACUCUGCUAAAGUAAUUUUCAUAUCUCUAUCUAGGCUGUGCUCUUAAUAUUUGUUUCUUGAUUGUGGUGUUUGGAAUUGGUCUCCACUUGAAAUCAUUGCUAAAUCCCACUGUACAUGCUAAUUUCAGAUAAGGACAGUAAUGGUAGCACCAGGUGGGGAGGCAUUGGGUGGUUUGAUUGGUGCUUUCCGUCACAUGAUUCAGACUGAAGGGUUCUUUUCACUUUAUAAGGGACUAGUGCCCUCAAUUAUAAGCAUGGCACCUUCAGGUGCAGUCUUCUAUGGUGUCUAUGAUAUAUUGAAGUCAGCCUAUCUUCACUCACCUGAAGGGAGAAAAAGAAUUCAAGACAUGAAACAAGGUGGGCAGGAGCUGAAUGCAUUAGAACAAUUAGAAUUAGGUCCUAUUAGAACAUUACUAUAUGGGGCAAUUGCUGGUGCAUGUUCUGAAGCUGCUACUUAUCCAUUUGAAGUAGUGAGGAGGCAUCUUCAAAUGCAAGUUCGUGCGACGAAGUUAAGUGCAUUGGCAACUUGUGUCAAGAUAGUUGAGCAAGGUGGCAUUUCUGCUCUUUAUGCGGGAUUGGUUCCCAGCUUACUGCAGGUACUAAUUACAUCUCUCUAGUAAAUGGACUAUGACUAUUUUAUGAAUUUUUAUUUAUGUCUAUUUGAUUAAUUAGAUGCUUUAAUUAUACAAGUAAUGAGCGCAAUACACACACACACACAAAAUGUGCAACUUCUUUUUAAUGCAAUUAACCUCAAAAUUUGCAGAGAAAUAAGGUUUAGUUUCUGAUUUGGACUUAAUACCUAUUUGUCAUAAAAUGAAAUUCUCAUUUGAUGUUUUUCAUCAAGAUCUUGUAUGAUUCUGUGAAGCAAUAUAGGAUUGCACCAAUUUGUUGUUUCAAGUUCCUUGCUUUCUUUGUUUACUAACUUAAUUCAUUACAUCACACUACAGGUCUUACCUUCAGCUGCCAUAAGUUACCUUGUUUACGAGUUCAUGAAGAUAGUUCUAAAGGUGGAAUCGGCAUAGGAAUUUUAUCUACUGACUAAAAAAAUAUAGGAGGGAACUAUUGAGACUGAGGCUGGGGGUGGCGUUUUAUUUCAUAAAAGGGAACCUUGACAACUUCAAGUUUACCUGCAUCAGUUUACAACACAACAGAAGGACAAUAAUCAUUUGUAAAAUUCUAUUGCCAUGAUGUUCUUCAAACUUAUUUGAUAGAUCAACCACUUUGAAUUAUUUAGAAAAUAACUUUUACUCAUUUAGUAGAAUUAUGAGUAUAAUUUAUUUUCUCAAUACAUAGUUACAAGUUUUUGUCCUUUAUAAACUUUUUUAACCUUUCAAAAAUAUUCUAGAAUCUACAGAUGUGAAUUUAAAUGAGCUUAGAGAGGAAAUUAAAUUUAAAAAUUUAAAUAGAUUAUUUAUUAAAAAUAAAUUUAAUGUGUUAAUCAUAUUAUAUGUUAAUUGUGAUAAUCAUGUUUAAACAUGUUAUCAAACAUGUCGAAUUAUAAAAAAUUUAAUUUGAUAUAUUUAAUGAACCUGUGUUAAUCAUAUUGUGUGUAGAUCUUUAACUCAUUUAUUUAAUUAUAUUGUAUUCAUGUUUAUCAUGUAAUUGUUAAUAUUUUAUAUUUACAUAUAAUUAAAAUACGGGAUAUGGGAAAACGAAUUUUGAGAUAUUACUUUGUGUUGGGCUCAAAAUAGUUGGUCCUUUUAAGUUCCGUUUUAUGCAGGCCCGAAACGUUUUAGCUAGAGUUGUUGUUUUAGGUUGUUUCUUGGGCUUUUUCCUUCCUUAGGAACAAAUCUAUUUUAAAUUUAUUUUAAAAGAUUACACUUCAAAUAGUGCAAUGAAAAUUUUAACUGCAGUAAAGCAGUUGCAUCUAACUUUACGUGGUAAAAGAUAAAAAAUGUUAAGUGUCAGAAUGGUUUAUCAUGGCAAUCAAAUCUAAUAAGCCAGCUAAAUUUUAAAACGGAAAGUAGAACAUGUCCCUUACAAGAUUAGGGUAGACAUGUAGAAGAGAUCAUUCAAUUGUUGCACCAUUGUAAAGCAGUGGAGAUCAGACUAGUUUACAGAGGAAAUUACUGUAGCACCUAGUAUUGGUAAAUUUCAAUAGUUUUCACAUGUUCUCCAUGCGUAUAUUCGCACAAUUCUUCCUUUACAUUACUUAGAAAAUAAAAACAUAGGUAUUCAUUGAAAAUUACAGAAAUUCUCAGUUUGGCUCCGAAAUAAAAACCAUAAAGAGAAAAAUAAAUAAUGAAUCAAUAAUAAAUUUGGAUAAAUUAAAACAGGAUAACAUGAACAAAAGAAAGAAAGAUCUGUCAAAGCUGUUUUUUGUCAUUGGAAUUGUGAAGGAAAUUAAUGCAGAAAAUUUCUCAUUGGAUAGACAUGGACAUUUUGUUCGAUUUAGAAUUCAAAGGACAAAAUUAUCCGCCACAGACAUCGUGAACUAUAUAUCGAGUUCGAGCUUUUUGGUACAAUUGCUUGCCCAUAAUUCUUCCGUCAGAUAUGCUCAUUUUCAGCAAUAUGAUCGUCAACACCAUUAUGAUCUGGCUUUGCAAAUAAAAAGAGGAGGUAGAAGAGCCACACUUGAUGCAAGUAAAUAGGCUCAAGGCAAGUCUAGGUCUUCCUGUUCCUAUUCUUCAAUUUUCAUAUCCAGUCACAGGGUCAGAAUUUUAAAUUUAAAAAAACGAAAAUUCAAGAAUAUCAAUAUUUUGUGAAAGAUUCUUUUUCUUGAAAUAAGUUUCAUGACAAUUUAUUUUCAUAAUUCCAAAAUUUUUAAAUUAUUCAAAAGAAUCAAUUUUAAUAAUUUACUUAAAAUAUAUUUUUUUCUAUUACUACAUGUACAUCUAAAAAAAGUCAAGGCUUCAAGAAAACGGGCCGGGGCCUAAAUUUGGCAAUGGGUUAAAUGGACUUACCUUGUCCUGCCACAUGAUAUCUUUCAAAAUUAUGCAAAAUUUAUUGGUUUAAUCUUAUUAUGUAUUUUGUAAUUAUGAUUAUACUGUUUAUUUUAAUUUGAAGGAUUAUUUAAAUAAGAAAAUGCAUAAAAAAGUGUUAGUGAAAUUCUUUCAUAAGAAUUGAAAUGUAAAAUUCAAUUUGGUAUUACACAAUUGACAAUUGUUGAUUACCUACAGUCUUCAUGGAUUUUGGCUUCUAUUGCUUUCUUAUCAAAUUCCCUUGCUAGAUGACUCUGGUUUGUUUCUCCUCUGUUUUGAAAAUUGUACAAUCGCUGUAUAGAUUGAUUAUAGCAGCUUAUAGUGUUCAACUCACGUUCCCUGUAGCCUUUUUUGAAUGUAAGUUUUUUGUAAGGAUGUAAUGGAAUAUACUUAUCUUUUUUCCUUUGAAAUAUAAUUAUCUGACUUUCAAAAAAAAAAAAUCAACCAACUUAAGUUAAGGAAGUAAUUUUAAAAAAAAUAAUAAUUAUUUUUUUUUUUUCUUUUGAAAAAUCAGCAGCGUCGAGGGAAGCCAUGACGCAAGCUAGAUAGCUCGCUUCUUAACCAACUUAAGUUACGGAAGUAAUUUGAAGAUUUAUAUGCCAAUUUUGGCUACUAGAAAAAUGCCUUGACUAAUUUAAAAAAAAAAACGAGAAAUUGCUUAUAAGUCACCUUUUCCAGUCAAGUCUGUUAAUUAUACUUCAACAAAUUAAUAUGCAAUACAGGGAAUAAUUGUGAAAAGAAAAAUACAUGAAUUCAUAUUUCUUUUUUUUUUUUUGAAAGGCAUGUUUUUUACUAAUUGAAUAUGAUAUUUGUUGUUAAGUGGUGGAUCCAUAUACGUUGAUAAGAUCAUUUUCGGAUUGAUUUGCAUAUAUAUAUAUAUAUAUGAAUUAAUUAAAUCAUUAGAAAAGCCACAUUCUCGUGAGCUAUACUUUUGAGCAGUAAUUAGGAAUUUUAUUAGAAAGUUUCAUCUCCAAAAGAGCACUAGGAAUGAUAAAUAUCACAUGCUUGUAAUAAUAAAGGAGUGUGAACAUUAUCUCACAGCCACUUGACCAAAGAAGUCAAGAUUUAUGAAUUGGUUAAUUAAGUUUGCUUGCUUAUACACAGCACUCCAGCAAUUUGUCAAUACAGAAUAUCACGAUGUCAAAAGACUCUUUUUUUCAACACAAAUUUUAUUAUUGAAUUCAAACUCUAAACCAAUUAUACCUAUAUUUUAUAUAUUUUUCUGCACAAAUUGUCUUAAUUAGGAUAAAAAUACUAUAUUUAUUCUUUUUUCAUGACACUUGACAUAUAAUUAAUUUACUUACGUGCAAAAUUACACGUAAAAUAAAUAUUAAUAAUUGUCGUAACGUGCGGGUUCGGGAACUCGUCUGCCAGACGCGGGCGAAAAUUAAAAAUCUGGUAGGAGUCGCCACCAAUCUUUUUUAUCUAAGGUGUGAUUGGUCACCUAUUAAUCCGAUUUUAAUCGACGAAGUCCUAAAUUAAUUUUAGGCCCGUCGAAAGAACGAGAACUGGUCUACAUUUUUAGAGAUGAGUUCGGGAGUACGGUUACACACGGAGAAGGGUUAGCACCUCCGUGGCGCCCGUUCCACGAACGGUACCAUUUAAUCUUAAGUUAUCUUAAUAUAGCCUACUUUUAAUUUAAUCCUUACGUGUUAAUUAAAUUUUUGUUAAAUUGACUGACUAAGAGUUUUUAUUUGGUUUGACGUAUGCACAUGAUGUAAGCGUAAAAUGAUGUCAUGACUUGUUUAUUUUAAAUGAUGGAGUCGGUAAUCUUUUAUUGGAAAAUUAUUCGAAGACCAUCCCAACGCUUUGGUGAAGUCUCGAAAUUCUCCUCACCUAGAGAUAUCCCCGGAAGAACUCGUCUCUACGAGCUCCUCGGGGAAAUCCCCAUCAUCGGGAUUUUCGCGCCAUUUACAAAAUAAGAGUGGCAUGCAAUGACAGUAUAAAAUGAUAAAACCUAUAUGACCGUAUUUAUUAAUUAGUUGGUUGAUAAUAAUAACAUGCUUAAUAAUUUCAAGUAAUUUAUUGACUUAUUCAUAUAUUUAUCGUUAUUAUUCAUCAUUAUUAUUUAUCAUUCAUUUUUUUUUAAAACAAAAUUUAUUCGGACUAAUGGGUAUAGGGAUAUAGAAUCCGGAUUUAUCCCGACGCUUCGGUGAAAAUUCGUUUCGAACUCCGCACUUUAAGUGACCCACCUGAAAGGGACAACUCUUUGCCCCUUUUUAGGUGGUAAUGCUCAAAUAAUUGUUCAAUUUAUAUUAUUUAUUAUUAUUAUUAUUUUAUUUAUUUUUUUAUUUUUAUAUAUAUUUGUAUCAUGAAUUAUUAUUAUUAUUAUUUUAUUGUUUGCAAGCCUCUAAAUAUAUUUAUAACAUAAAUAUUUUUUAUUCACUUAUUAUUGUUAUUGUUGUUAUUUAUGUAUGUAUUUUUUUAUUUUAUUUUAUUUUAUUUUUUUAAUUUUUUAUUAUAUAUUUUAAAAACAUUCUAUAGUUUUCUUUUUAAUUUUUACCUAAUAAUUAAAUAAAUUGAAUAAGCCCAAAAUGACAAGCCCAAAUCAAGGAAGAUGGAUUACCUUUCUGGGCUUGGAUUAGCCCAACUCGGUGGCCCGCAGGAGCCCAAGUCCACUACACCCGGUCUGCUUUUUGAAGCCCACGAGGCAGAUCUCAAAACGCACCGUUUGGUGCCUGUGGAGCUUGCUCAAAACGACGCCGUUUAUGGCCUGGACUCUCCGACUUCAGCUACAACGAUGAAACGGCACCGUUUUGCUCUCUUUCCUUUGGGUAUAAAAACCAUUUUUUAGCUUUUUUUAUUCAUUUUCCAAUUUCUUUUUCUCUCUCUAGCCGCCACUCUCUGCCUUCUCUCUAGAAAAACCUUUCCUCUUCGUUGGCGCCGGCGUCCCGUCCCCUUUGGCUUCUCUCUAGCCGACGGCCCAGACGUUCCUCCCUUUCUCCCUCGAAGUCUUCUCCCCUUUCGAUCGGCGGAUCUGGCACCCCAUGGUUCGAUCGACGGUGACCUAGCCAGGUUUAGGCCUUCCCCUGUCGGUGGCCGACGCUCCACAGAACCAACCUUCCUUUCACCGCUCACCGAUCUCUCUCUCUCAAACCGAACCGAAUCCCCCGUUGAAACCCCGAUUCGAUUUUUGGCUCCCCCCUUUUUGAUUGAUUGAUUUUUGUUGUUUUUUGUGUGGCUAGGUAGCUUCUGCUGAUGGAUUUUUUGAUCUUCGAUUUUUUGUUUCCCCUUGGUGUUUCCUUGGUUUUACAGGAUCCUUAAAAAGUCGGGUUGUCCAAAAAUUUGGACAACCCGACGAUGGGGUUCUGACACCAGAGAGUUGGUGGCCAGAACCCCAUCAUGUGGGGUGGUUGAUGAAGGGAUGGUUGGGCGUACGCCCAGCCAUACCUCUCUUUUUUUUUUCAUUAUAUUUUUCUUUAUUUAUUUUUUUAUAUUUUAUUUUAUUUUAUUAUAAUUUAAAUUUAAAAUUUAUUAUUAUUUUUAGGUGUCUACAAUAAUGUAACAAAAAAUUAAAGAAUCACUCCAUCUAAAAUUUUAAACCCAUAAAUUAAAAUCUUAAUAUGUAAUAAUCUUUAAAGAAUCAAAACACACUAUUUUUAUUCUGUUGUUCUAUCAUUAGGGUUCAAAAAAUUCGUAAUUGUAAUAUAAUAUAAUGUUUAAUUUGUUGAAUGGCCAGAUUUUUUAUCCAACCAAAGGUAAAAGUAUCAUUCAAAUCGGAAGUACGUAGGAUAUAAACGUGGGGAAGAAAACCUAAACCUCAAAUAUAACUAAAGAAGACAAAAAAAAAAAACAAAAAACUCAAACCUCCAAAAUAAAACGAAACUUGAAAUACAUGAUCCCCUGAAGCAAAUAAGGCUAAACAAUAUAGCAGAAAAUAGAGAGAGAGAGAGAGAGAGAGAGCAGUUUUCCGUCCUGGGGCUUCACCAAGAUAAAAGGCAAAAGCUUGGAGAAAUUUGAUUUUGAAGUUUUUUUUUAAUUCAUCUGGGAAUUUAGGACAGAUUUUUCACUGUUACAAAACGCCCGCCAAUUUGACAUUGAUCAGGAUUGAACUAACAAUUAAUGAUUGAAUGUACAUCGAAAGAAUUUAACAAAAAAUGAAAAAGCGAAAGAAACAAAUUAAAGCUCUUCAAAAUUGGUUACAAAAAAGAAUGGAGCUAAAGAUAUUGCAGUUCAUCUAUUGUUUACUCUUCUUUCCAUACAUGAAAUCAUCAGCAGCUUUAUCAUGGUUCGCACCAUCUUUUCUAUUGACAUCAAAUAGAACCAUAUAUUCUCAAUCGUACUUCUCCGUUAAACCACUGUUGCAGAGCGAAGCUCAGUGACUCGUUCUCUGCAAUGGUAGCGUGGCAAACUUGAAUUGUUGAUACAACAGUCUUGCUUAACAUGGCCUUUCACGAAUUCUUCUACUCCUUUUUCCCCGUCUGCCAGUAAAUGCGGCGGAGGCGGCUCGUCAUCACGUUCCCACUCAUCAAUAUCCAAUCCCCAUUCUAUGUAAUCCACCCUCGCCACUGCUAAAGCUUCUAUUGAAACUGACAUGAUUUUAUGUAAAGCGUAGCUAGAAUGUCUAAAAACUUCAGUUCCUUUAGAUAUUAAGUAUGAUUCUAAUAGAACUCGCAUGGCUUGAUGGUUUUAAAAUGACCAGAUAUGUUGUAUUUAUAGGCUGUUUAUUCCCUGCAUGCAGAUUGACUUUCUUCUCCAAACUAAGGGGCUAGCCUCCAGAGGUGGAGCGGAUGUUUCCCUGGGAAAAAUAGAGAAAGUAAAGGGAUAAAAGUGUUUUAAUUUGAGAGUAUAUUACCUUAUUAAUUCAUAAAUGAAGUAACAUUCUCGUGAUUGUACGUUUGACCAAAGCAUCCCAAGUCUUUUGCCUGCUGGACAAUUCUCGUGAUUUGGGAAAGUCAACAUGAUGCUAAGCAGCUUGAUAGCUGUAAUUAACUGAUUCUCUCUUCAAGGCACUCAGGUGUAAAGAAUGAGAAACAUAUGCCUACGUUACAUAUUAAACAUAUGAAAGAUUAUUUGUCCCUAUGCCUGACGUAACUAAUGAGAUAAACAACAUGUUCCUUAAUUAGAUUAUAAAUUUUAGGAUUUUAUGGCUUGAAGGAAUUUGAAGGGCGGGGAAUAAUAUAAAUAAGAUUAUAAAACUCAUUUCUAAUUUUCAUGUAGACAUUAAAAUGGUUAAAAAAACUUGAAAUUUCAAAUCCGAAUGUUGGAAAAAGAAAAAGAUGUUUUAGAUGAGAAAAACUUCUUUUAAUUCUGUAAUUUAAAGUUAUAUAUAUAAAAAAACAACAUAAAACUCCUUUCUUAAAUCAUGUUGACAAAUUGCGAUUUUAGUAUUGUAGAAAAUUUACAAUAAGGAUCAUCACAAAUUUUUUUUAUUAUAGUUUUUAUUUGCAUUAGAAACUUCAACAUAUAUGUACAAAUAAAUAAGUACUCACAAUCAAUAAACAUGUUUAAACAAUUUUUUUAACCAUAAUUAGGUUGACAUGAUUAUAAUUUGAAUAUGAUUAUUUUUGACACAUGUAAAAAAUUUAUGAAUUAAUUGAUUAAUCAUGACUUAAUUAAAUAAGCUGUUCUACAUAUAUCAUAUAUAUCUUGUAGCUUAUGUAAUAAAUAGGUCGUGCAAAUGUAAGCUUUUCCGCUAUUACCAAUUUGACAACUUUUAACAUGUUGGAAAAUGUUGUAAAUGUGUAUAGAUGGCAUAGGCAGGGGUGUACUGAAGUUUUGAAAUCUUUGGCCAAGCUGUGGUUCAAAGACACGAAAACUUCUUUUUGUCUCUCAGGGGUAAACCUUCAAACACAUGCGUGUUUUUCUGCCAAGCAUGCUAACUGCCUUUAAUCAGAUUAAGCAAUUAACAAAUAGUCAACCUUGUCUGUUUAAUUAACUGUUGCCAAUAUCUAUAUAUACUUAAUUGACUCUUCAUUAUUCAACAAUGACUUUCCAAUUCCACUUGUCUUAGUAUUCUUCAACAAUGAUUUUCUAAUUAGUCUUUACAAUAACAUAGACCGAUAGAAUAUAGAUGUGAUUAAUUUCAACACACAUGUAUCAUGAACGAAGAAGAAAAUUAUGAGUUCCCAAACCAAAGGUUCAUCCAACAUUCAAGACUAGAAAAGAGAGACAAGGAAGAACAGAUUCGGAGUUGACAUAAACAUCAUAAUAAAAGCACUGUUCUGGUGAAUCGUGACUGAUCAGGAGUCUUAUUAAUUGACUGCGAAAACAUUGUUCAAUGCUGAUUUUAAUGUCAGCCGCACGAGCCCAACUAUGGAACUGAUGUGUUGAUUAUAGCCAAAGCCGGAGGGUCCCGCUCCCCCUAACAAUUUUAAAAUUUUUAUAUUUAUUUUAUUUUUUUUGAAAAUUUUUUAUUUCGUAUCUAUUAAAAUUUUAAAAUUUUUUAAUAUAUUUUUAUUUUUUUAAAAUUUUUAAAAUUUAUUUGUAAAUAAUUUUUUAUUUGGUGAAAUGUCCCGCAAUAAUUAUUCAAGAAUUAAUUUUAAUAGACUUAGAACUAAAAUAAAACCUAUUACAAUAGAAUUAUACCCAAACCUCACUUCUCAAAACCUUACAACUAUCACCUCUUGUUCUCUCUUUUUUCUUUCCAAAUAGAAACAAAAAGCCAUUUUUUUUUCUUAAACUUUUUUGUUUGAGCUUUUUCUGUGCAUAAAACCUAUAGUCUAUAACUUAAAUUUCAUGUUACAAUAAUUGAUAAAUUUAGUUUAUUUACUGUUAUUUUAUUUUUAAUAUUUUCAACUUUAAACUUUUUCUUAAUUUAAUAGUUUCUAUUUAGUGAUUUUAAUUUAAAAUUUAUCGUCUUAGUCAUUUUUUGUUGAAAGCAACAAAAUAAGGAUUUAAUUAACCACUUACAGUUAAUUAUUACUUAUUUAUUUAGGGAUUGCUUAAUUGCUUUCCUAUAAUUUUUUUUUUGCUUAGAUUCUUGUAAACAAUUAAAUUUUUUAUUUAAGAAUUGUUUCCUCAUUGAAUUGUUUAUUGAUAUUAUAUUUAAUUUUUGUGAUUAAUUUUAGGAAUUGCUUCUCAUUGAAUUGUUUAUUGAUAGCACUUAAUAUUUUUUAGGGUAUUGCGUCCCAUUAAGAUUUUUGUUAUUAUAUUUGUUAAUUUUUGUUUGUUGUUAAAGUUUAUCUAGGAAUUGAGAUUAUUGUCGUUAUUAAAUUCUUUAUGAUUAUAGUAGUUAAAUAUUUUAAGUAAAUUAUUAAGAUUGAUUCCUUUGAAUAAUUUAAAAAAUUUUUGAAUUAUGAAAAUCGAUUGUCAUUAGGAGACUUGAAUCUUAUUUUAAGAAAAAGGGUCUUUCACAAAAUGUUGACACUCUUGAAUCUUUGCUCUUUCAAACAUGAAAUUCUGACUCCAUCACUGAUUAUAGCAAUGAUGCAUGUAUAUAGUUAGCUGAUCUUUUAUUUUUUUCGAGAAAUUGAAGUACAUGGAUAUUAACUAAGAAACAAAAAAGAAGUUGACAGCUAUAAACUACAGCCCCUAAAUAGGAAUAACGAAACACCAGAUUAUUAAGCAAAUUUUUUGUGGGAUUUGGGUUAUUUUCAAUUUUCAAUUGUUAGGGAGAAAUAAAUAAAUGUGCUUGAAAACAUGAAAGAGCUCUUUCAAUAAUAGCUAGAAAUCAUAUAGUCCAUGACAAAAAUUUGGGAUAUAUUGAAUUGAAUUUGCCAAUGUAAUCUUAAUCAUGCUUUUAGAGCAACCUGCUCUUGUAUUUUCCUUUGGUUUGAAAUUUAAAAUCAUUUUCAACAUUAGAAGAAUAUAAAAGAAGUUGGGAUUUUUAUAUAUUUAGAACAAAUUCUUUUGUUAUAUUUUUUUAUAAUUAUUUAAUUACAAUCAAUGAUACGUGUGAUUUAUUUAAUUUUUUAUGAAACUCGCGUAGUAGAUAUCAUAAAAUUUAAUUAUAAAAAAUGCAUUAGAACAAUUGUAAUUUAUCAUUCUCUAUCCAUAAGAUUUAUCAUCUUUAAACUGGUUAAAGAUGUUACUUAAUCAAUAAAAAGGUUGCAAUGGGUAUGGUUAUUCAGUUCAUCAGCCAUGAGCAAGGAAAUGGUUUUUACGAGCUUCAUAGUUCACACAUGUUCAUUGCAUUCAAUUUGAUGAUAAGAAUUAAUUAAGAAGUAAUCGGAAUCAAGUUUGUUUUCAUGGCAUGGCAUCAAGAUGACUUUAGAAAUCUCUUCCUCCGAACAAUGCUUGCAAUCAUUAAUAGCCCAUGAUGUAUCUGACCAUCGGCUUUGUUGACCUUAAGCAAUGUAUUAUCCUCUCAACCAAUGCCCUUCCUUGAGACACUCUUCCACAGCUGCAUUCUAGAGUGGCGCCUUUGCUGGCGUUAAUGUCAUCAGAAUCGCCAUCAAAAUCUUCCGAAGAGUGGGUUAGCGAGCUAGUGCCGGUGACUUGAAAGCCACGUUUCGCAACCCUUUCCGGUUCCUCUUCUUCUUCCUCUUCUGCUAGUAAAUGCCGAGGAGGCCAUUCCGAAUCAUCAUCAGCUUCCCACUUUUCAAUAUCCAAACCCAUUCAUUAUAAUCAACCCCUGCCAUUGCUAAAGCUUCAAUUGAUACUGUCAUGAUUAAUUCGGGCAAAGCUGCUAACUUAAGGCUCCAAUCUUUCUUCUUUCACAAUCAAAACUCCUAGCAAGUAACUAGCAAGCUAACAUAAAAUGACCAAAUUGAAUUGACAGCUAGUCGCAGUAUCUGCGGCAUGAAGACAGAUAUGUAUAUAAACAUGAUCCAACUUGCUUCCUAUCAAGGAGAAUUCAAUCUAAUUUUCUUCUCAGAAUUCACGGCCUUGUAUACAAAUCAAACGGGAUUUUUCUCUUCUAACUUCGAGUGCUGCAGAAAUGAAAGUGGAGAAGGGUUAAAUUUAAGCAUCAUAUAAGAAGUGGCAUUCCCGUGAUCAUUUAAUUGACCAAAAUAUUUUCUUCAACUUGUCGUUCAUGGCUAAGGGAUAUUGUUACCAAGUGAUGUUGUACGACUAAAGCUAUGAUGCAAGCUCGACACAGACACGUGAGUGAUAGAUCACCCACAUGUGUCUUAGCCUGAAUCAAAAAUGGAAGAAAAGCUUUGAUUGAUGACUGUCAAGGUAAAACCAGACUUUGGAUUCGAAAAGCAUGGACUGCAAUUAGGAAUAUGGUUCCAUACUUCCAGAACAUUUAGAAUUCCUGAUAGUAAAGUUGUAGCCAAAUUGAAGGACAAGAACAUUCAUUUUCUCUAAUGUAUUUUUAGUUCUAUUAAACUGCCUAGAAGGCCGAAAGAGGAGAAUCCUUAAAAUUAAUUUUCAUAAUAAUAUUAUAUGAAACACUAUAUAGAUAUUCACAUGGAAACAUGAAUACUACUCUGUUUACAAGACUCGUGGGUGAUUGCAAUUGGGAUACAGAGUGAUUGGUUGGUAGAGAAUCUACAGAUGGCCCUUUUGGUGAACUGUUCCAUAUAUUAAAGAUAGUAGAUGCUUGGAUAUUUCUGUUUCAAAUACCUAAGUACACUGUAUUUAAGGAUUGAUCCCAUUAAUUCUCCGUAAAGAAUCUUCAUCGACUUGCAGGGAUUAUACACCCAGUUUACAACAACUUUCUCUGCAUAGACUUGCAAUGCAAGAAACAGAAUGUUUUUCUUUUUAUUUUAGGGAUUGUUCAGCAAGCAACUUUCAUCUCUGUUCUAUCAAAACAUGGUCAGAGAGUUACUGAACCCUUGGAACCGUUGAUUGAGACCAUGUCGCAGUACAGAUUUCAUCAAACUUUUGUUGUAUCCCAAAGACAAAUUUGUGCAGCAGUGCACACGUAGCAAAGGACUCUCCUUAUUUUAAUAUUUUGCCCGGGAGGAAAAUGAUAGAAUUGGCAAAGAAGGAAAGGGAAGGCCAUUCCCAUCAUCAAAGAGGAAUGCAAACUCUGAAACUUAUCGAGCCUGGUAUUCUCAGCCAACUAUCUCAAGAUAACCGUCAUAUACAGUUCAGAGUUCAGACGUAGCUUUCACUGAAACCAACAAACAGCAAGACAGGUAAAAAAAGAUGGGUUCUAAAUACCAAAAUUAACCUCUCAAUCAUAACAGCACCACCAGGCCUAGUUCUUCCAUGCUGAUAGUGAUGUCCAAGAAAAUUUUAAAUGGCAUACACAGUAUAUUUCCCCAAAAACAAAAGUAUCGAAACACCAUACAAAGAGUUUGAACACAUUAUAUUUAAUGGUUUAUUUAUAGGAACCUGAAUAUGGCCACAAUGAGAAGCCCUAGGGUGAACAUGAAGCCAAUGAAACUAUGGGCAAGAACUAAACCGAACAGGAAAACUUGCAGCUCCUCAUCCAGCCGUUAAUCUCAUUUCUUGAUAUGAAAUGAAAAUCAUCUCAAACAAUUGGAAAUUCAAUGUAACAAGAGUUUAUCAGCAAAAUUAUGUCAAGGAUUCAAACAUUGGGAAACUUGGAAGUCUGUGCAUCUCUUGAUCUCUUCUUUUGGACCAAAUUCCACAACUCAACUAGGCCUGAAUUCCAAACUAGUUGGGGUUGGAUACAAGAAUCCAUUUUUUUCAUUCCAUUCAAUUGAGGACCAAAAGAUCUAAAGAAAUAGAUCCUCACUAAUGGCAUCGUAUCAUGUAAUCAUAUCUUGAUCAAAGCAGCUCAAAAGCAACUUCAUUCAUUAUAUUGGGCUCCUUAAGAGAUUCCAUGAAGCAUCCAGCUAAACAGGAAAAGUACGGGUACAAUCCAAAGCAUAGAUUUUAUGAGUCUAAGCUUCACUUAGUGGUUGUGUGCGAGGUCAAGGACCAAGGUUCAGCUCCCCCCCACCCCUUCCUCUGCCUAAUCAAAAUGUAUCUGAACAAAACUUAAAAUAAUAAGAGAAAAAAAAGACAGACAGAUAGAAGAGACUUGUUCCUCCAAAAUUCUUCCAAUCCAUAUUAGCCGAUCUCUAGUAAAUAGAUAGCUAGUGAAACUCACUAUCCAUAAGCCUACCAAGUUGAAAAAUUAGUGGGGACAAAAGAGCACUAACAUAAUUCUACAACUAUAAUUGGAUGCCUUUAACUCUCCAUAAUUCAUUCUCUAAUUUGAAGUUUUAAAGAUCAAAAUGAACUUUCUCAGCCGUACAAUUUACACCAAGUAUAUCAACCACUAUACUCUCUUAUGUCAAAAGGCUAUACAAGCUAGAACAUUCAAUCUGCAAGUCACAACAUUGAUGAAACUAUAUUUAUCCACAAGGAAUCAACAGCCACAUUAAUCAAACAUCAUCCAUUCUUUAUUUCUGCAAGUAAACGAACACUAGGAAGAACAUGCUAUUGUCACAAGAAGUUAAGGGGGAUUAUUGGAAAAAUAAAUACCUACAGUCUUAUUACAAAGAAUUACAACAAACAUACACAUGAACAUAUAAGAAAACAAAAUUUACCUAUAUCAUGCCCUUGCCAAAAUGCUACAACCCAUCAAGCGACGGUGCCAACACAUCUUGCAAACAGUAAUCCUCAAAAGAGCCAAACCCAUCAAGCAAACCAUCAAAAAACCCAUCUUCCAACCACCCCUCCCUCUCCAUCAACUCCUCCUCCUUUUCCUCAUCUUCCUCCAUUGCUACCACUCCUUUCAACUUCCGAUCCUCCUCCUCCAUAACAGCUGGCAUGUGCCCUUCAAACAACGACACGUGUCCGAAAAGCUUAUCUUUCCUAGAAAAGCUAUUCCCACAACUACACUUCCACUUCUUACUCUCUUCCCCACCUCCACAAUGCUUCAAAUGACUCUUCAAAUCAGUAAAAACCGAAAAACUCUUCUUAUGACACUUAUUACAACCAUACAUUUUCGGACAAUGGCUUCUCUUGAAAUGAUUCCUUACACAAAUAACAGAUUUCAACGGCCUAAACUUGUCAUGUUUCUUGUUCCUGUUACACCCAUCAUAGGGGCACGAAAACCGGGUUUUCCGACCCCAAUUCUUCACUUCCCCUUUAUUACCUGUUUUUUUCGCUAACGCCUCGGGAGUUUUAUACUGAUUCCCAUGAGCUCUCAUAUGCAUCCGUAAAUUGGCGUCGCGCUUGAACCCUUUACCGCAAAUUUCGCAGAAAUGUAAAUGUUCCGACAGCAACUCGACCGCAUCUAACUCGAUUAUCUCGGACUCUCCUUCAUCGUAAUCGUCGACCUCGAGUUUCGGUUCUGGAGUCGGGUUCCGGAUUGGAGUCGGGUUUGGGUAAUGGGCUUUUUGGGCGCAAGAGAGGAGGGCCGCACCGUUGACGAUGAUUUGGUGGAUGGCGGACGCGAUUUCAGAGGAGACGAGAUCCAUCUCAUCUUUGGAGACCAAAGUGUUUGUGUUGACCGAUUGAGAUAGGAAGUGUUGCAGGGAAUCCAUUCUCGUUUUAACCGUUGAAAGGUUUAGAAGUGGGACACGCGGAUCGGCAUGGCCGAAGGUUUCUUGUUGCCGGAGAGAGGGUCUUCCGCCGCUGGGAUGUUCCGGCGAGAUCCGAAAAGGUUCUCCGAGAUUCGACAUUUUUUUUUUUGCGCAGAAGUGAAGUUCGAUAAGCUUAAACAAAAAUAACAGAGUAAAAGCUUUGUCAUUAUAUUUGACUGAAAAAGACAAAAGAGCAACACUAGAAAUGCACGCUGGGAUUGACACGUGCGGGUUUCAGAUUACAUCUUGACCGCUUAAACAGUCGAUUGGCGGCCAUGGGCCAGGGAAACCACUGGGGCCAUUAUUGGACUGGAACGUAUACUUUUCUUGGAUCUAGUCGAAUAAUUGAGUAAAAUAAAAGAGCAAGAACCAGAAAUUCUGUUUUGGCUGGCCACCGAAACAUAAUUUUAAGAUAUAUUACGAAGAAAAAUUGGCUAAACCAAUUGAAAGCAUCGAAAUUGAGUUUGCCAGCCUGUCCAAGAAGACUAGCACGUCGUUUUGUAGCGGAAAUGAUAGUGUGGAUGACGCGAGGGAUUACGACCGUAAAUGGGAACGGUUGAGCAAAGGCAAGAAUCAAAGCCGAAGACCAACGUCUUAUCGAAAAGACGAAGACUCCGCUACUCUUCACUAUUUUUUUAACUUUUCAGAGUAAUUAAAGCAGUUCGAGGUCAAUGGGCCUAAUUGGGCUUCACUUUUUAAAAAGGGUGUUUUACUAAACUCAACGCAGCCUGAAAGAAUGUAGAAACAGAGGGUCAGGCCUAGGUCAAGUUGGGCUUCACAAUUCAAAACUAGUACGUUUUCCAUUAUAUGAAUAAAUUAAUCUAAAAAUAUCUUUUUUUUUAUCUAUAAUUGUGAUUUUUUUUUCAAUAAGCAGUUUGUGUUUUAUUUUUUCUAUUAUCACUUUGUAGAUUAAUUUUUUUUUUUGUAAAAGGAAAAUUCAAUUAAUCAAAACAUUAACUUACACCAUUCUAGUACAAAAUAUGCCUAGUUUACCUACUAAUAAAAUAGAAGAAAUAUUUAGAGGUGGAACAUUAAAGAUGUGCAAACCUAAUUCUAAGUCUUCAUAGUUUGUGGCCAUCCAAUCAGCUACUCGGUUGGCCUCACGAUAUACGUGAGUAAUAGUGCAGUUCCAAUCUCAUUGUAUCAGCUCCUUAAUCUGCCUUAGUAAAUUUGCACAGGGAUCCCGUGAAGAGUUCGAGUUUGAGAUAUUCUGAAUAGCCACCAUUGAAUCCGUUUCUACUUGCACCUUGUUAAAACCUCUCUCCCAACAUAACUUAAGGCCUUGAAGAAUGGCCUAAAGUUCUACAACAAGUGGGUAUGUUACACCCACCUUAUGAACAAAACCAAAAAGCCAACUCCCUUCAUCAUCUCUUACCAAUCCCCCUGCAGUAGAUUCUCCAAAAGCACCUUUUGAGCCGCCAUCCACAUUAAGCUUUACAUGUGAGUGAUUUGGUCUUGUCUAGGAUAUUGGAGUUGCUAUUUUGGAUUGAUGCUCUGUUUUCCCCAAAAUAUACCAAGCUUUUUUGGCCUUACACCAUAUAUACUGUGCCGCAUUAUCUGGCCAAUGACAAGAACAAUCAAACAUAUUUUUAUUUCUCCAAUGCCAGAACAUCCAUAUUGCAUGAGAGAAGAUGAUUCCCCAUGCAACUCCAUCCCAAAGCUUUGAUACAGAUAUGUUCUCUUGGAUCCAUUGUUGUAAGUCCAUACUAAAGAAAGUAUUUGAGCUCAAAUCAGGUCGCAUAUUAAGCCACAUAUUUCUCGAGCAGCUGCAGUCUCUUAAAGCAUGUAUUAAACUCUCAAUAGCAUUACUGCAUCUAAAACACAGACUCAAAGAAACCACAUUCCUUUUAAGCAACCACUCCGCUGUAGGUAAAGAUUCAUGUAAAGCUCUCCAAAGAAAAACUUUAACUUUCCUAGGACUUGUAAUCUUCAAAUCUGCUCCCAAUGUAUAGGUGUCAAUAUUGAAACAUCACUUUGACAGUCAUAUCCUGACUUUAUAGAAAAGACACCAUUAUUUGUCAAGGUCAAUACUUUUCAUCAAUUACACUACUAUUGGGAUCAAGAAAUAUAGCUGCUAUCAUCCCUAUUAUUCGAGCAGGAAAUAGGUGUUGUAAUGAAUGAAAGUCCCAAUUUCCAUAUUCAUUACAAUAGCUUGCCACAGGUCGAGCACUUUCCACUACAGAAAUUUCUCUAUUGGCAAAUUUCAAUAGAGGUCCACAAGCUUGCCAAGAGUCCAUCCAAAAUAAAGCAGAGUGUCCAUUAUUUGGGAUCAUACCCAGGCCUUUAACCAAAAUUUCUCUACUCUUCAAAAUGCUUCGCCAAGUAUAUGGGUCUGUUGUCUUAGCUUUAACUGAUAAAAGGUCUUGAUUUUUUAAAUAUUUACUUUUCAAAAUAUCAACCCAAAGGGGGUCCUUAUUUAUCCAUAUCUGCCACCCUAACUUAGCUAGUAAAGCCAAAUUAAACCUCUUAGUCUCCAUAAUCUGUAGCCUACCUAGUUCCUUUGAAAGACAAAUUGUUUUCCAACUGAGUGCAUGGAGCUUCUACACCCCACCUAAAUGACCCCAAAUAAAAUCCCUAUUAAGUUUAUCAAUUUCCAAUGCUACAUUAUCUGGGAUGAGAGUAGUUUGCAUUAUAUAUGAUGCCAUUGAGCUAGUAACAGAUUGAAUUAAAGAAAUCUUUCCCGUCAUCAACAGAUGUUUAUUGCUUCAGCUCUUCAAUUUUUUUUUAAAUUCUACUGCAUAGCUCCUGAUAAGUGGCUUUUGACACUUUUCCAUGAAUCAUCGGAGUCCCUAAGUACUUCCCAAAAUCCUUAACUAAAGGAACUUUAGCUAACUGGCUCAAAACUUUCGCCUUUAUGAAGUUAAUAUUAGCAGAAACUAACAUGGAGGAUUUUUCUAAGUUCACCUUUUGACCAGAUGCUUGGCAAAAUUUAUCAAGAGUCUUUAACAUCACUUGUUGUGAAGUUGCCACUCCAAAUAACAUGAGGUCAUCUGCAAAACAGACAUGUGAUAUGUUGGGUCCCCUUCUUGUGAAAGAAAGUGACUUCCAAUUUCCUUGUCAACUUCUUGAUCAAUUAAGUGGACAACUUUUCUAGGCAUAAUACAAAGAGAUAGGGUCAUAGAGGGUCUCCCUGUCUGAUACCUCUUGAUGGAGAGAAAGAUGUUGACGAAUUCCCAUUCCAAAUAAUGGCGAAAGUAGGGGAUUGCACAAUGUUCAUAAUUAAGGAAAUCCAAUUAGAAGGAAUUCCUAUUUCUGUCAUUACUUCACGAAUAAAACUCCAUUUAACUCGAUCAUAGGCUUUCUCCAAAUCCACUUUAAGCGCGAGGGCUCUUUCUCUUCGUUUCAUGGUCUUCAUUGUAUAGAUAACCUCCUGCACUACAAUAACAUUGUCUACAGCUUGCCUUCCUGGAAUAAAGCUACUUUGUGAUCUUCCAAUUAAUCCCUCAAGCAUUGGUUUCAACUGAUCAACUAAUAUUUUACUAAUCAAUUUAAGAGGAACAGAACACAAGCUAAUAGGCCAAAAUUAAGUGAUUUUCUCUGGAUUUUCAAGUUUGGGGAUGAGGGUAAUUAAUGUAUGAUUCAAAGCUGGUGGAACCAAACCUGUAGCAUAAGCCAUCUGAACAAAAUUAACCAAAUCAGCAUUGAUAUAUAGCUAGUUUUGUUGAAAAAAGCUCGCUGGGAAGCCAUCAUAGCCCGGACUUUUCCUUGGGUUCAUGUCAAAUAAGGAAUGUUGAAUUUCUUCACUAGAUAAUGCCUUUCCUAAAUCUAAAAUUUGAUCCUCAUUUAACCUCCAAUUUGACGAUACCGGUAAUGGGACCCGAACCCCAUCAUCCUUAUACAAAUUUUGAUAAAAGUUGACAACCAUCUCCUCUAGUUCUUUAGGAUCUGUACACCAUGAUCCAUCAUCUCUGCGAAAUGCAAUUAUCUUCUUCUUCCUUUGUGUGCUUUUCACAAGAGCAUGAUAAAACUUUGAGUUGCUAUCCCCAUACUUAAGCCAAUCCAAUCUAACCUUUUGUUGCCAAAUCAACUCUUCCUGAUAAAGAGCAAGAUUAUACUCCUCAAUCAAAGUAAUUUCUAAAUGUUGAAGGUAAUCAUUAGGUUCCGCAUCAAGUUUCUUUUGUAUUCCCUCGAGGUGCGCUAAUAACCUCUUUUUCUUCUUAUAUAUAUCUCCAAAUGUCUCUAAACUCCAUUUCUGCAAAUUUUUAGCUAAUCCUCUCAAAGUAAUAAACAUAUAUUUUUCUGUAAAGCUCCAUUUUGUUUUGAGAAAAUCAAUAAAAUUUGGGUGAGUCAUCCAUGCUUCUUCAAAUCUGAACUCCUUUGUAGCUUGUAAUAAAAGUGAGAAAUCCGUACACCGUUCAAGGAUCGGAUGGUGGUCAAAAUGUGUUCUUGGCAAAACAAAGGCGUCAGUAUGAAGGUAAAUUCUUCUCCGUUCUUCAUUAGCUAAUCCUCAAUCCAAAUGGACCCUGGUGCAAUCAAAGCCAUGUCUUUUCUUCCACCAUGUGUAUUUGGGACCCCCAGUUUCUAAUUUUGAUAAAUUGCAGUAACUUAUACAAUCUAGUAUAAGAUUACAAUGAGCUAAGUUAACUCCAGUCCUUCCUAUUUUUUCAUCAAGUGAGGUUACCUUAUUAAAGUCUCCUAUCACCAUCCAAGGAACUUUGUAGAUUAAUUUUAUUCUCACAAAAAUUAAUUUGUUAAUUUUAUCUAAUAAAAUUAACAAAAUAUUCUCAAUUCAAAGUUAAUUUAUUUAUUUACACUUAAGGGUGUUUUUAUAAUUUAUUAAAUUUAUUUACUGAUGUAUUAGGUAUUCUAUGACCUAGAAUGAUGUGAUAAGUUGUUUCUUUAUUUCCCAUAUAUAAAAAAAUUAUUCAUAGAAUGUUAAUUGAGAAAAAAAACUAACAAAUAUUGGUGAAUCCUAUAAAUGGAUUAGAUUGCAUAAAUAGCCUUAAUUAAAACUUAGCUAAUAAUUAAUUACUUUGACAAGUGUCUUUGGCAGCGGGUUGACAUUUGGAACUUCAUGAAACCUACUUUUCUUGCUUACAUUUCAGUCACUCUUCCUUCUAAUUUGUCAUAAAUUACGUCCAGGUUUCUUUCCAUGUAGAUCCAGUACAAUUUCCCAAAUAGACUCAGCAAUUUAUUUUAUUUGAAGUAAUCAAAGAUAAAGAAGUCCUUGGCAGUAGUAGUCACUACAAGAAAACAAGUUUUUUCCGAGGAAAAAAAUUUCGUUGGAAAUUUCGAAUAGAUUUUCAAUAAAUUUUGUCAGACAAUUUUUUAACAGAAAUUUUUCAACGAAAUUUUUUUGUUGAAAAUCCGUUGAAAAUUUUUUUUGUGAUCAAAAAAAUUUCAGUCAAUACCUUUUUCAACAGAAUUAUUUUCAAUGGAAUUUUUGUUGAAAAAACAAUUCCAAUGGAAUUUUUCGUCAGAAUUUUUUUUUCAACGGAAUUCUUUUCACAAUUGUUUCCAACGGAAUUUCAAUGAGAUAGCUUACAGAAAUCAUUCUUUUUCUAACGGAUUUUUAUCGAAAAGUAUUACCAACGAAAUUUUCAAUAGAUUUUUUCAUUGAAACUCUGUCGAAAAAAGGCAUUUUCAACAAAAAUCAGCCUUUAUUCAACAAAAAAUUUCGUUGAAAAUAGGCUGUUUUUUGGUAGUGAGUUCUGAUCCUCUCCAUUAUUCUCCUCUCCUUCCAUCAAGGUUUGCUUCAUCAGUCAAAAUUUGUUUAAUGUUUCAAAACCAAUCCGCGACAUAUAAUAAGUUUUACAGGUGAAAGUUUCAAGGGAAGACAAUCCUUCACCACCGCCUUAUCUAUGCAAGCAGCAUUGUGCUCUCAAGCAUCCCAAAUCCAAGUAUUGGGGAAGAUGCAAACUCGCUGAUGAUCGCUUUGUUUGCGAAUGUUGUUAUCUUUGCCAUCAUAAGCAUGGUCACCAUUAGUUUUCUGGUUUUUACGACUACCUGCAAAAAGUUCUUUUAAUAUGGCCCCUUAAUUAUUUUGGCUUUACUCAAAAGCAUGGAUGUAUGAACAAACGAAAUAGUGCUUUAAAAUUGAGGAUUUUAGAUGACAUGAUCAACAAGUAAUCAUAAUAUCCGUGUACAGUAUCAACCUGAUCAGUGAGAUUAAUCAAAUAGUUUAUAUAUGAUAAACUUAAAGAAAGGAUUAGCAUUUCACAGCCCAUAGCACUCUUGCCGCAAGAGGAAUAUUUGGUAACUAUUAUAUAUUGGACAGAGACAAUAUGGUAUUAAGCUGCAGCCUGCAAACCUUGUUGGUUUUUCAUUAGAGGGCUAUUAAUCUUUUGAAGGUUAGCUUUGCAGUGAUAUUUAUGGGCCUAUUGCCUGUUGCCGAUUGGGCCUUGGAUACAUUUAACUUUGUAAUUUUUGGACCAGAAUCUAAGGGAGCUCAUGAACCAUUGGGACUCGACUCUUCUUUCAUUUGAGUCUGGGCUAGAACCUAAAACUUCCUUUAAGUUGACUCAAGUGUUGUUUAAUUUUGGGGGAAAUUCCUUUUGAUUGGGAUAACAAGGCUCGGGUGCUGGAACCAAGAUCAAAGGUUAAGUUUAGAGACAACGGGUGAAGUGUGAGUCAUGUUUUCGUUGCAAAGUAAGGAGUGAGCAGCCCAAUUAUGAGCGACAAUUAUAGUGUAUAAAAUGGUCCAACAUAGAUAACGCCAACAUAUUAAUCAAUUCAUUGAUCCCAGCUAGCCGUGCAGUGGCAACCACAAGUUGUUCUAUUUUUAGAAUAAAACAUAUAUGCUUAACAGAAUCACUAGCGAUUAUUACAUUCUUAAUUACAUUAAUAAAAUCCAGAUGCCCCACCAGAAAACAACAGCUGAAGACAUCCUAAUAGAUAUAAGGUCAGAAGUACUGGCAGAAAAUUCAAUUAGUAGAAUUUUGACAGAGGUUAAAGCAGGCAAUUAUUGAACAUCCCAUUUCUGAUUAAUUAAUCCAUAGGCAACCAUCAACUGUUCAUCGUUAUCACCAACUACAUAGAUAUUAUAAUUGCGUUUGAUGAAUUUUAGUUAGGGCCCUUCUCUACUAAUCACAAUUUAGUGCAGUAAGAAGACUUAUAUACGAACAAGUUGCAUUAAAUUUGUCUUCUCUGGGUCCGUUAGUCUUAAAGUGGUAGGCAUGCGCCUAGAGAAGAAAAGCCGACUAUUAGCUUAGCUUCUAGUCAAAACUACGAAAGCCCUGCUGAAAUAUGUGUGGGAUUUUGGUCAAAUGUCAUUCAAUAAUUUCUUCUCAAGGAUGGUUGCUGUCGCUAAGCCUGCUUACAAUCUUUCCAAGGUAAGUUCAUAAUGGAAAGUCUUAGGUUUUUACAUCAGUCUUUUCAAACAUGACAAUGUGUGCAUUUACUGCCCAGUGCUUGGAAAUUAGGACAAGAUUCAUCAAACGAUUAUCUUGAAAUUAGCUCUUCUGCACUGUGCUAAAAGAUUUAUAUCUCCCUUAGUGAAAGCUGAAGCACUAUCCUCACAUCUUGAAAACAUCUUUCACAUUCAAGGCACUGGCAUUAGUCUUGGUUUCCAUCAAUUUCAAAACAUGCAGUCCAAGAUAAAGUCUACUUCUUCUGUUAUGCGCGAGGCGAAGAAUUUUUGGGCUCAAACUCUCCAAAAGUGAAAAGUCUCAGGUUGAACGUCACUCUUUCUGACCUUUAUUUCCAGUAUUAGAAUCAUGACAUAUUAUUUUCAUAGAAGUACUCAUGAAAAGAUUGGAACUUUCUUUAUGAUGUGGAUAAAUUGCUUUUUGCAAAGAGAUAAAAAUCAAAAAGGCAAGAUAAGAAGGAUGGAAUUGAAGACAUCAAGACAACCUCAUUCUGCUUAAACUAAUAUUAUUUGUUAGUUUAGGUCUGGAGAGGAAGGCUAAUAGAAAUUUAAGAAGUAUAUUCUACCCAAAUCACCUAAUUUUGAAUUCAAAGUUACCUAAUAUGUUUUUCAUUAUAAAACAUGGCAGGUUUUACUACUUGUAGUCCUCUUAUUCUUCAUCAAAUUCAAAGGUCUUAGUCUCCAAUCCUCACCCUUUGGUUCACUUGCACAAUUUCUUAUAGCCUCGUGACUUCCUUUUUUUUUUUUGAACAUGAAAUAUAAGUUAUUAAAAAGAUUUAAAUUAAUGUUUUAAUAUUCUAUCGUAUUGAUUUCAAGGCUCAUCAUGAUUAAUUAAAGUUACAAACUUACAAUCGAGACAAGAUAUCAUAACUUACUUGAACUCAUUUCAUUUGCUAUUGAUAAGUCAAUUUUGUGUUUCAAUAAUUUGAAUAGCAAAUUAAUUCUAAUAUUUUUAUCUAAACAUGAUCAGUAUAUUUAUAAAAUAUUGUUGUACUAUAUUUUGUAUAUGUAAACCCUUCAUGUAUAUAAAUAGAUAUAAGUUUUUUCUAUCUUAGUGUUUAUUAUUUUGAUGUGUCAUUGUUUGAUUUCUAAUGACCAUGAUAUGAACGUAUGGGAGAUUCACAAUGAUAUGGCUUUAAAUGAAAUGGAACGAGACAUGUACAAGAUGAUGUGAUAUACUUAUUUUAUACAAACUUUUCUCUACACAUAUAUGUGUGACCGUUUGUUUAAAUUAAUUAUUAAUAAUAAAGUAAUAUGAUGGUAUUCGAAUAUUUGAUUUAAGAAUAGAUGUAGGGUUUAUUGAUCUAAGAAAAAAUUUUAAAUGUCUUUUUAAUUUUAAAAUAUAUAUAAAAUAAAGUAUGACGGGGAAAGCAUAAUAUAAUAAUGUUCAUUACUUUUUGACUUUUAAGUAGGCAAUAAUUUGGGACUCUAAGAAUAUAAGGUAUCUGUCUAUGUGAAUUGUUGAUUAUUUUAUAACAAGGAGAGAGUAUCUCUAUAUCCAGGCUGCAAAUUAUUGUAAUUCAUCUAUGAGAUCUAAUCUAUAUUUAAAUGCCCGAAGACAAACAGUUAAAAGAGAAGAAGAACUUUGGAACACAUCUCAUCAAUUUUCAAUCAAAGAAAUAGAACUAUGUUAGUAAAUUAUCAACUUAUGGCUGUCAUUUACUUGUAUGUAGACAUGCAUGACCAUUUGACUUUAAUCAACAAGCUUGUAAAUUUUCUACAACGGCUCGAAUUGUAGCUUACUCCAGAAGAAUUCUCACUCAACACCAUUCCAUUUCGAUUAGUAUAUACAGCACGGCAUCUAAUUAAUCGCUUGCUUUCAAAGAAAAACUUUUGAAUAUCAGUGAGGUUAUUAAUGGUUCAGUUAAAAUUAUUAUUGCAGUCAAUCCCUUGUAAGAAAAGGAAAAUAAUCCAACCACUCACCCAAGAAAUAGUGCCAUUAGGGGUCAGCAACUAUUGUUUCAUAGCUGAUAGUCUGUUCAAAUUAAUUAAUCCUCAUUAAUUAAAAAAAAUGUUGAAAGAUGAGUACCUUUUAUUAGUUAAUUAACUAAGUCGCCUCCAUGACUAUGAUUUGGUGACUCAAAUUAAUGUUAGAUAAACCUUCAAUCCUUUGGAGGAAAAAACAUGAGAGAAUGCAACCUUAUUGUAGACUCCAAUUAGAUUCUAUGUAUUAUGCUUUAAAAUAUAUAUAUAUAUAUACAUAAAAGAAAUUUUACUUAUGGAUGAUCAUUAAGUCAAAUUCAAAAUCUAUCACAAACCUAACCCUAAUUUUGAAGGUCAGAUUCAUAGUUAAUCCAAAACCAGCUGCCUCCCCUGGCUAGGUCGGCCGCGACGCUACCUGCUGCUAGUUGUUUUUUGGAAAACAUGAACAUGUUUUGUUUUUUUUUUAAGAAAAGAUCUAGCAGAAGGGCAUAUAUGCUCAACUAAUACCUACAAAAAUUUACUCCAUCUGUCUGAAAAUGGUGGAGGAUUUUCAAGAUUACGGAAACAAAGCAAGAACUUCGUAUCAUGAUGACUCUUGCUUGUGUUCAGUUCGAAGCUAAUUAAUUUGUCGGUCAAGACAGUAUAUAUGCGACGAGAGGUUAUUUUUUCUGCUUUCAGUAUAGACAAGAACCUUCUAAUUAUUAAAUAGCAAAAGGCAAGGCAGAUGGAAAUUGGAAUAAAGUGAAAGCUUCUUCUUUUUUCAAAUUAUAAGUUGGUAGAAAGGAAAUAUGAACACUUAAUUGUAUAACUUCCUUACAAUAUUCAUCUAGCACUUCCUUUUUGUUUUAAAUGGAGAUCCAUCUAUUAGUUUAUAGAAUUGUGCUAUAGUUUAAAUUGUGUCAAAUUCCAUGUAUAUAAUCAAUAGUAUUAGAUUUGGAAAAAGAUAUCCAAAUCGGAAUAUACUUCAUCUUUAAGUUAAUAGAAACUAAGGGCCACUGCUGCUUACCACCUAGAACACUUCCUAAUAAUUUUUGUUUUUUAUGCAUUAACUCUAGGAAUUUUCAUUUAUUGAAAGAGGAUUAUAAGAAACCAUAAUGUAUGAAACAGUAAAAGAAUUUGAUGAUUAACAACGGAUUUGAUAUUAUUCUUUUAUUUUUCAUCUUAUUUGUGAAGGUAUUAAGUUUUGAUGAGUGUGAAAUUGCAAACCCCUCCCCUUUUUCCUUUUUCACUUCCAAUAAUUUUCAAUGAUAAUCAGGAUGUUAAAACCAAGUUUUUUUUAUUAUUUUUGUUUGCAUUUUAUUAUUCUUUCUUGAUAAAAAAUCAUAUAAAUUUGAUGAUUAUUGUUAAGGUGAAUUAAAAUUGAAAGCUCUAAUUUAAUGAUUAUUAAUCUACUAACUUUAAACUUUGUCACACACUACAAAAAAUCAUUGUAUUUUCAACAGAUUUGCAACAAAAUUUAAUUAAAAUUUUUAAAUAUUUGUUCCGACGGAUUUUCGUUGAAAAUUUCGUUAAAAAUUUGAGUUGUACAACACACAUAUAUUACUGUUUAAUAUUUACAAUGAAUUUUCAACGAAAAAUUCUGUUGAAAAUCCGUUGAAACUUUAAACUUAAAAAAAAAAAACGAGUGUAAUCUUGACAGUUUCCAAAACACUAUGUACUGUUUAAUAUUUUCAACGAAAAUUUUCAACGAAAUUUUUCAUCGAAACCGUAAACUCAUCAAACUAACCGGGUGUAAUCUAUAAAUUUUUCAACGGAAUUUUCAACUAAAUUUUCAGUUGAAAAUUUCUAAUGAAAAAUUUUGUUGAAAAUUUCAUCUUCAGAACACACGUUUUACUGUUUAUUAUUUCCAACAGAUUUCCAACGAAAUUUUCUGUUGAAACUCUAAACUUUUCCUAUGUAAUAUUUAACUUUUCCAACAGAAUUUCCCGUUGAAAAUUUCUAACGAAAAAUUCUAUUGAAAAUUCCGUUGAAAAAUGUAAAGAGUCAAUGAUGUAUUGAAAAAAGUAACUUUCCAACGGAAUUUUUCGUUGAAAAUUCGUUGGAAAGUAACUUUUUAAUGUAUCAAAGUGUUUAUGACUUUUUAAACUUUUCAACGGAAUUUUUCGUUGGAAAUAAUCAUAAUUUUUCCAAUUAUAAAAUUUAAAAUUUUUAUAAAUUUUAUUAAUUAUUGUUAAAAAUUAGAUAUUACUAAAAGCAAAUACAUAGUUAUUGAAGUAAAAUUUUUUUAAAGUUUAAAUAUGUUUUCCUUUUAAUAAUUUUGUAUAAUUUUUUUAACUUUAAUGAAUCAUACAAUAUUGAUUAAUAAUACCAAAUUAGGGUAAUGUUAUAUUAUUCCAAAAUUGAAAAAAAUAACUAUGUAAAAUUUUAUAUUUUAUAAAAAACCAUGAUAAGAUAUAAAAAUCAUAUAAAAAAUAUAUAUCACUUUAUUUACAUUUUAAUUGUAAUUAGCUAAUAUAUGUAAAUUAAGAUUGAAGUUUUAUAAUAAACUUAUUAAUAUUUGUGCUUAAAAAAUAUCAUUUUAUUAUAUCUAUGNNNNNNNNNNNNNNNNNNNNNNNNNNNNNNNNNNNNNNNNNNNNNNNNNNNNNNNNNNNNNNNNNNNNNNNNNNNNNNNNNNNNNNNNNNNNNNNNNNNNNNNNNNNNNNNNNNNNNNNNNNNNNNNNNNNNNNNNNNAUCUCACUAUGUUUUAUAUUGAGUAAUAUUAAAAAAAAAAAAACUUUUUGUACGAAAAUAAAAAAUAUCUAAAAAUACUGUUAUUGUCAAGACUUGAACCUUUGCCCACAUGUUAAAAAAGUUAAAAGAUAACCAUUUCUUCCACCAACCCAAACUUUCAUUGAAAAUUUCCGUUGAAAUCUUAAACUUUUCUUAUGUAAUCUUUAACUUUUUCAACGAAAAUUUUCGUUAGAAAUUCGUUGGAAAGUAACUUUGUAAUGCGUCAAAGUGUUUAUGACUUUUUAAACUUUUCAACGGAAUUUUCCGUUGAAAAUUUCGUUGGAAAAGUUAAAGUUACAUAGGAAAAGUUUAGGGUUCCAAUAGAAUUUUUCGUUGAAAUUUUUCCGCUGAAAAUAAUAAACGGUAAAACGUCUGUUCUGAAGAUGAAAUUUCAACAAAUUUUUCAAUGAAAAAUUUCGUUGAAAAUCUGUCGGAACAAGUAUUCAAAAAUUUUAAUUAAAUUCCGUUGUAAAUCCCGUUGAAAAUUUCCAACGAAAAUUUUCCAACGAAAUUUUUUCCGUUAGAAAUACAAUGAUUUUUUGUAGUGGUUAUGAUAUUGUAAUUUUAUUGUUUGUCAUUCCAGCCUAUUGGUAUAAUUGAAAAUUUUCUUUUCUGUAUUAUUGCGAUCAGGUUUUAUUGUUUAACAUGUUGUGGAAUGGUGUGUUAUAGCUUAUCCUGUGAGAAAUAAGCUUUGUUCUUACCAAAAUUGCUUAUUACAGUACUGAUUUGUAUCAUUUCUGAUGAUAUUUAAUGAAAUCUGAUUUGAUCGAGAAAAAAAAACCAUAAAUUCUUAACUCAAAUAAAUGAAGAAUUAUCUUAUCAUAAGAGCAAUCAUAAUUAACCUAGCUAUCAUUUUUUUUUUUUGAAAAGUUAACUAUCAAUAUUUUGAAUCCUAAUAAUAACACCAGCUUUGUUUUGUUGAAAAUUCUAUUCAGCAUAUAGGUGAAAGGUUUAUGUUCGAAACCACUAAUAAAUGAAUCGAUUGUGAUAUAUAUACUUAAAUUAGGCAGAAAAUUAAAGUACUCCUUCUGUUCUAUAUUUUUAUGAUAUUGAUAAAUUAUAAUAUUUAAUGUGCAAAAGUAAAAAAAGUUGAUUAAAAAUUAAUAUGGAAUAUGUAUAUAUAUAUAUAUAUAUAUAUAUAUAAAGAAAGAGUUGUAAAUGUUUUAAAAAAUGAAUAUAAUUUCAAAACAACUCAAAAAAAAAAGUAAAUAUUCAAUUUAAAAUAAAUAAUCAGUUCAAGUUAAUUAUUUUAACUCAAAGUUUUGAUGUUAAUUCUCAUGCUGUUCUUAGAAGAAAGGUACAACUCCCACCAAACAUGGACAUUUUUUUCUAGAUCAUGUUUGGUACUAUAACUUUUAUUAUCGAAUUUUUAAAGUAACACAUAGGUUUACGAUAUUUCCCAUGCAAUGUGCUGUGGCAAAUUAGUGGCGGUGAUCCCUUUUACCGGUCAGAAAAUUCUUCAAACUUUUUUUUUUGGUUUCCUAACUACUUGGGGUCCCCUUAUCAUUGACAAUCCUUUUACGUCACUUUAAUUUUUUUUGACAUCAAUGUCUUAUAUAGUCAACCCCAUCUCAAAAAUUAAUAAAGCUAUUAACCCAAAUGCCAAAUCACAUGUAACCAUUUUUCUUUUUUUACAAUCUUCUCUAUCAAGUUUAUCAUUUUUUAAUAUAUUUAUCGUUACUGUUCAAAUAUUGUACAUUUACCCAGUGUUGAUGAUUAAAAACGUACUAAAAGAUAAUGAAUAAAACAAAUAAAAAAUUAGGACUGGGCCUUUUCAUGUGUAAAACGUACUUAUUUGAUGAACAAGAUAGAGAUCAAAAUCAAUUGAAUUUUUUCAUUCCAGUUGUUCUUCUAGAGUGGUUGGAUCAAAAGGUUUCGGUCAAUGUCUUGAUCCUAACUUACCCUAAAUAAUAUAGUUUUUUUUUUUUUGAAUAGUAUGGGCAAGAACAUCAUUCAAAAGCGGAAAUAAAAUAGUAAUUUAUUUAAUUUAUAAAGUAAGGAACAGUAGGAACAUAUAAACAUCAAAAGCAGGGAAAGGAAUCAAGCAGGGAGAAAAAAAAACAAAAACUUUUUCUUGUGUGAACAGCAAGACAAAGAAGGAGGCUCUCGUAGUGUGGGCUCAACCUAAACUUAAGUCGAUUGUUUUUGUAGGGUUUCUUCAUUGUUAUUUCCUCCAAACUUUCUAUUUGUUUACAUGAAGUCAUCAUAAUAAUUUAAAGUGUUGAAAUGUUCCGAAGGACUAUGUGAAAUUAAGUAAAUUAAUUUCCAUAAAACUUCGUAGCAAUUAAAUGAGUGGAAUUGAUAAGUUCAACGAAAACGGUAUAUAAUGUCAACACGUUUCUAAAAUUGUAUGGAAAAGAGCGACCAGCUUUCUGAUUUGAAGCAAGUAUGAACACCAAAGUAGCUAGAUUCCUUUUACCCCACCCGCAAUAAAAAUGAAUAUAAAUGAAAGUAAAGAUAUAUAAAGAUUUUGUUAUUGGUCGGUCUAUUAUCUAGUAAUUUGACUUUACCAUUUCAUUUCGACCAGUACCACCAUUGCUGUAGCUUGAAUGACCUAUAGUUUCAUCGUUGUUUGCAGCCACUGAAAAAGGAGAAAAAUGAAAAAGAGGAAGAAGAAGAAGAAGAAAGAACUUUUUUCUUUCUAUGGUACCCUGAGGUCUGACAUUUAGAAGAGGGCACAUUUUGACUUGAAUUUAGCUUGAAGAAAUACAAGAAAUAUAAUUGAGAGCAACCCUUGAAACAUGCAUAAUGUCUCUAUAUAUAGGAGGGUGAAAUAAUGCAGAUUUCAAAAAUUUCCCAAAAAAAAAAAGAAAACAUAUUUAAAGACAUGCAAGGCUAACUUAUUAUAUAUAAUGAUAUUAAUGUCGUGUUGAUGUUUUAGAAAGGGUUAUACAUAUAUAUAUAAUGAACAGGAUGUGUGCAGAAACUAAUACACAGAAAAGGAGUGGAGAAAAUGCGAACCUUUUUAAGAUUUAAACAUAUAUAUUAAAAAAAAAUUAAGCUAGGCAAUCUCAUGAAACAAAGGGUCGUCAAAGAGUAGGUGGUGAUCAGGCCAAACUGAAUUGUCGAUCAAAGUCUCUGUUACAGAUGGAGCCACAGAAGGCGAAGGAGUUGCAGAUGAAGUGAGCCAUGGUGAAUUGCAUUUAUUCUCUCCUUGGCUCAACACUGUGUAUUCUUGAGCUUGAGCCAUGUCCUUGUUCGUAGAUGUUGGAUACUCACAUGGGAUUUGUAGGUCUGGUAAACGAGGGAAAAGGAUUGAAUCAUUGAAACCUUGAAGAGAAGCAGCUGCUAUAUCCAGCUGGGGUGAACUUAAAACUGAGUUAUCCUUGACUGGAGAAAGUGAGUUUGAAAGAUUAAUGGUCUCCAUAUCAGUGAAAGUGUUGUUUAUGUUGUUAGAACCAGAUGAAAUAGAAGCUGGGGUUUGAAAAAGAUACUGCAAGCAUUGCAGCUUAGCCAUUUGAACAGCUUCUGCUUGUAGCCUUACAGCAUGUUCUUCCCAUGGCUGGUGAUCCAUAAGCUCUUUUAGGUUGGCCAAAGCUAUCAGAUGAGGCAAGCUUGAGAAGAUAUCAGUUCGAGGCCUAUGAGUCAUCGGAUCAAUUCCCAUCUGGAUGAGUUUUUUCUUCAAAUGAGUGUUCCAAAAGUUUUUUAUUUCAUUAUCUGUUCGCCCCGGCAGGUGGCUUGCAAUUGCUGACCAUCUUGUGAAUAACAAGGAAAAAGAAGUAUACAUGAUUCAAGAUGCAAAAUAAAAAAUAAAAAAAAAUAGAAAUUUAUAGUAAAUGACAUAAAAGGAAAUAGUUGUUUAAAAAAUUACUUGUUUCCAAGGAUGGAAUGGAGAUUGAGAAUUGUUUGCUCUUCUUCCUGGGAAAAUUUCCCUCUCUUAAUAUCAGGCCGCAAAUAAUUCGUCCACCGUAGCCUGCAACUCUUCCCACAUCGAUUAAGACCUGGAAAAUAACCAAGAAACAAUAAUCUCAGGACAGAGAGAAAGAGAGUGGAGGAGACUUGCAGGUGUAAUACAGUAGCUUUAAUUUUAUACCAGCAAGCUUGGGAAGGGCUCUCCAGCUUCCAUGGCCAUUUUCUUGGAUAUAUUUGACAAGUUUUUGGUCUUCUUCAGGAGUCCAAGGACCUUUCUUAAGGCCACUUUCAUCACAACAAGGAGACCUUCCCAUUUCAAUAUCUUUGUUUUCCUUCCUUCAGACUUGGCAGCUGCCUCCCUCGUCCCUCCAUCCAACCAUUAGCUGCAGCUAGCUAUAUUUAUAGAGUUUCUGUUCCCUAAUAAAGCAGACGUGCUGGUUUCCUAUUUGUUGGCAAAACAACAUUGCCCUCUUCCUUCUUAAAAUCUCAACCAUACCCUUGUCAUUUGUCAAAUGAGUUUUCCUCCUUUUUUUUUUCCUGUAAAUGAUUUUAUUUUAAUUUGACCUAAUUGUGUCUUCAGUUUUCUACGUGGGGCCUCAAUUUUCUGUUCAUAAAUAACUUCACACAUCAAUGGCGACCCACAAACAUCUUACAGCCUGAUUGCUUAGAAGGUUGCUAUGAUCUUGACUCAAUCAUCAUUCUCAUGUUUUAAUAUAUAUUCUAUAAAGUCAAGCAUCUUUACUGCAAUCUUAACAAAAUCAUUUUUUGGCUAAUAAAAAAAUAUAUAAAGCUUCUCUCAUUAGAAAUUUCAAUGAAUUAUCCUCGGUGAAAUAGAGCCAGGACAUUUAGAAAAUGUCACAUAAACAGGUCAAGAAGAAUGGCUGCUUUCACACCUGUUGCAUAGAUACUCUUCAACCUUCUGAAUUUCUAAUUCAUUACUGUUAUGAGUUGGGGUAGAAAGAUAACAAUUUGAAAUCAAGAAAUCUUUAAUUCAGUUUGAAUUAAUUGUUUCCUCGGAAAUGAAUCCUAAAUCGUAAUUAAUUAAAUGUGUCAAACAGAAUAAUUAUAAUAAAAAAUGUAAAAGAGAGUAUGGCAAAGGGAUAUGGACUGCCACUGAUUGCAUAACUCACCCUUGCACAUAAAUAAAUAAUUAAUAAAUAAAUAAACGUGCUAGUAAUACAUUACAUUCAUGUAUUUGCCUUUCAAAAAAAUGUUUAGAAAUUAGAAUAAUUAAAGGUGUUUAGUGGUUUGCAUUUGUAGACUAUAUAAGUUAAAAGAGAAUUUAAUGUCAUAUCCCCAAAAAUGGUUGGAUUUAGCUUAUCAAAAAAAAAUUGGUUAUGUAAAAGAUGAUUGAAUGAUAAUUCAAUCUUAGACAAAUAUAUGAGCAUAAAAUACAUAAUUUAUACAAAUAUUCAAAAAUAUUCAUAAUACAUCAAAGCAUUUAAUUCAAUCGUAAACAUAUAUAUAUCUUUAUUCAAAAUUGAAUUUAAAUUUUUAUUUUUCUGAAUUGAAAAAUCGAUAACUUAAUCUCGAACAAAUAUGCGCAGACUAUUCUUAAGAUAUGGACCUAAUAAUGUAGUAUGGAAGGGCAACAUUGGUAAAGUGAAGACUUGAAGGGGCAAUGUAGGGUAUUUAAGCAGUAAUGAUCUAGAAUUGGAUUAAAAUAAUGAGAAUUAUAGUCAAAAACAAAUGAACAUGAACUGAAAGCGGCAGUCAGUAGUCAGCAUAAAAGGGAACAGGUGGCGCGUCAUCCAUGAUCUUUGAAACCCAUUCCAUGCACGCAACAAGGCCUUUUAUUUCGUCACUGAUUGCAUGGAUCAUUAUACAAUUUCACGUAUUAAUAUUUAAUAUUUAUGCAGAUGGGUCCGCAAAUUUUUUGUGCUUGUACUUCUAGCUAAGCUUUUGCUUACGCACUAGCUAGCCUACAUUACUACCCCACUCCGCAGGGUUUUGCUCAUCUCCAUGGCAGCCUGCCUCCAUUUGCUUGACCCUCACCAAUCAUAUUUUUGUGAGUAAUUAACUUCUGCCAUAUAUCUGCAUCAAAAUCUAUAGUGGUCUCUAAUUAUCAAUUGCUUUCCAUCACCCUAAAUAUAUAUUCCCGAAGCAGAAAAGAUGAAAAAUGAGUGACAAUAAUGACUUUUUUUCUCUUUCUGUCUCCUUUUUCAUUCUCUCAAGGCUCUUCCUAAAUAAUUAAUCUCAAAAUAAAAUGAUGCAUUGGUGAAUUGGUCAUAUGGCGGUGAAGGAGUGUAAUCAGCAUCGGGUGUAAAUCGAUGACGCAUCUACUGAUUCCGGUUGCCAUCUAUAACACAUAAAUACAUCAUUCUUUUUCUUUGAAUUGUCUUCUAUUGAGCUUUGUGAGCUAUAUGAGCUGUUGUUCCCAAUUUCGGUGCUGUGGCCGGCUUUUGAUAAGAGGUCACUGGCGGGGUCUUUUUCAGUGAUAGAGGGUCCUGGGCGAACAAUCUCCGGUGUGCCAAAAUAGAGAAUUCUGAUGCUGCGGUAGUUGAUCCCACUGACAAGGAGUGGCGGAUUAAGGCCCAUGGUAUGUAAACCUGUCUCUGGACUUGCUUUAAUUCUACACAAAAAGAAAUGCUAUUCUGCUUGACCUCACCCAAAUAUAAGACAACAACAUAUAAUUCAGAAGACGACGUAACACGGCAAUUUUCUUUCUUUUCUAAACAUGGACGAAACACGCUUUCUGGAACCAAAGUCUAUGAAUAACAACAUUAUGACAAUGUUGUUUGAGUAUAUUUCCUUACAAAAAAGAAAACGAUGGAGAGUAUGCAUCACAUUCGGAAAGUAACUAAAACCAUGUGAUUAUCCAAUUAUUAACGUCUGUGAUUAAUUUACACACUAUACGUGCAUUGCAGGGAAUAAUUUAGCGGCCAAAACCGGUGGCCCAAAACAAUAAAUAUAUAUUUCUAUGAAUAGGAAAAGUUUUCUUGGUGUGAUGUAAUUAUAGGGUUAGGGGCAUCUGAUCAUUGCUCUUGUCUCUUUGUAUGGCGUAAGAUGUUGAGAGUCUGAGCUCUCUCUUCUCUUGCAUAUUUUAAGAGUCUCUUUCCACGUGUGCACCGUGAUUUUCCACUCUAACCUAACACAUCAAUCACGUAUCACAAAGUACUAUAUGUGUAUACAUGUGUAGAUAUGUACGUUUUUGUAAGAACAUGUACGACUAUGCAAGAAACAAAAACGUCUAUAUAUGCGAAAUUCGGGUGUAAUUAAGGUGCAUGGUCUUAUUCAGGCCUACAAGAUUGGUUGCUACAACUCUUUUGGUGCCAAUUUAAAUGCUUGGAAGUCGCAAAAUGAUGCAUUUUAAAAUAAUCAUCAGGAGUUUGUCAUCAGAAUCUUUCAGUUUGAUAGCCCAAAAAACUUAAAAAGCUAGAUAGCGACAGAGUCGAUGGUGACCCAUUUGACCCUAGAGGGAGAUGGUUAGAGGAGGGGGUUGCAGCAAACUCUCUAAAUUUUCCACCAUAUUGAGACCCUUAAGACAUCUUUCUUUACCCCCUAACAAGAACGCGUCAAUGGUGUUCGUUGAUAUGUAGUCGUCCUUUUCUUCUUUGUCCUGAUUCAAGGAGGAGGAGCAGGAGGGAGGAAGGGGGAGAAAGAGACAUGUUGUAAAACUGAUUUUACCUUCAUUUUUUGCAACAGAGAGAUCAAUCAAAUGUUCAUACUAUCGGCAUUAAUCAUGAUUUCAUAGUAAUCACCUGUAGAUGAAUUCCUCAUGGAAAAGCAUUAAUCAAAUGUAGGAGAACAAAAAAUAUGCAGCAGUUGCACUCCAGGAAGAAUGUAUUUUCGUGCGUAUAUAUAUAGAGCUCGACAAUAUACAUAUGUGUGUUUAUAAUGUACUUAUAUGUGGAGGCCAAAACAGAAAUAGCUAGAAUAUAUAGUUAGUCAAUUAUUCCCUUUGACUUGGUGUUAUAUACUGUAUAUUGCAUGCAUAUACGCAAAUAUUCCAUCUAUUUAUUUGUCAACCUCUUUGUGGUUUUAUGGAUAUCUUUUGCUUAACUUUUUGUGUAGAGGCAUGAAGCAUAUUUCUCAAUCUUUAAGCAGAAAAAGAAAGCUGCCCCAGUUAAUUAUGUACAUACCCUUUUUUUUUCUUAGCUGUCUAUAAUAACUAUAAUUAUCAAUGGAUUACAAUUCAAAGAUAUUCAUUUAUCAAAUUUCAGAUGACAGAAAUAGAAGUAAAAAGGAAGACAAGUCCUUAAGUCAAUGGGUUGAUACAUACUAAAAAUGGGAUAAAUUAAUUAAUGAAUCAUGGAAAUUCAUAUCAUGAAACUGAAGAAGUACUAAGUCCAUGAAAAUUAUAAUGCACGGAAUAAUUUUGGAAGACAAGAAAAAAAAUGGCACACCAAACAGGAGAAAGUAACCACAAAAAAAUCUUCUGAUCUAACCGUAUUUAAAUGUCAUAUAUUUAUAAGUUCAACAUAAAAUGAACCAUAUACACUCUUGCAGAUGUAAUUAUCAAUGGCCGCCCUGGGUAUAUAAGCCACUGGAUGAGAGUCUAGUUUGUCCAAAAUCACUAAUUUCUUACUUGAUAAGCUAGCUAUUUCUAACCUAAACUCGUUAUAAAGCAUCACAUCAAUGGCCACCGAGAGUCAAACUAACAAGAAGGAGAAUUGAGAACACCAUGUCCUCUCUCUCCACCUUUUUUCCUCCUUCAAUUACCUCAUGUUUUGUCGGCACAAGUUUUACCCAUAAAAGAAACCGAGAUUUUUGUUCAUCGAAAGGGGAAAAACAUAUUAACACCUCUUCAAGGAAAACUAACAGAAGUUUUUUAGAGGGAAACAGAGAGAUUACUUCUUCAACGAGGGUUCCUUGUCUGGUGGACUAGACCCUCACAUCAAAAGGAAGCAGGUUUAAAUAAAGAAUUGAGAGAGUAAGAGAUGUCACCUAAACAGCUUAUUAUUUUAUCAUUAGAAAAAAUCAUAGUUGUAAUGUCAGCUAAACAACUGAUUUGCUUCCCCAGUUAAGUUUCUACCCAAUAUAUCUAAACUCGGACUUUCUACACUUCCUUUGCCACGUGGAUGUAUUCGGGUCUUUCCAUCUCCAUGCAAAAAGAAAACAACACUAUAUAAUGCUGGUUCUAAGCAAACAUUAAAUAUAGAUCAAAACACUCACUAGAGAUGGAGAACAUGAAAGUUCUUUAAAAUGGAUUUAUUUUCAAAGUAUUAGCGACAGCAAUCUUUCUUUCUACUCCUCUUUCAUCACCUUAGUUUAUUAUAAUUUUAGUAUACGACCAAAUGAAAUGAUUGAUGUUGAGUAUGAACAUGAAGGUUGACUCCGAAAACACACCUGAGAUUCCAAUAGCUUUAUCGACCUAAUUUGUUGCAACCUGCCAUGGAGGUUCCAUCCAGCAUCUUCCGAUAUAUGAUUUCCUAACAUAAGCUGCUAAUCAAUGAUCCUGAUGAUCUGUUGGUCAAAGCAAAUAAAGCAAACUGGAAAUGAAAUUAUUGCGGUGCACCUUCAUCCCUGCAAUAAAAGCCUCAUAGAAAAUUAACAUUUAUAGUUUAAUGCAUCUCAGCAUUGUUAAUUAAGUGCUUUAUUAAACAAUUAAAAGAAUUGUGAUAGAGUGGUCACCAGAAACAGUUAGUAAGAAAUACUUCUAUUACGUCCAGUACACGUGAAUUGUAUUUGCGAGCGUUCAUGGCACACCAACUUCACCCUUUUCAACUAUUCACAGCCCAACAACCCUAAUUGAAAGCAGAAAAAAAUUGAAGUGGGGUCUGAAAAUCUAUGCUAAUUUCAUCAUAUCUUCACCGUUUCAAUGAUAAUUACGUGUAGAAAGGUUCACUUUCCUUAAGACGUUCAUGCAUUGCAUCCUAUUGGUUUUGACACAAAUGCACUCACAGUUAUUACUGUAAUAUAUAAGGGUUUUGUAUUACUUUAUGACAGAGACUGACUAAGCCUAUGAUUUCUUCUGAAAUGAGACUAAAAACCUAGGGUCAUUGAUUCAUAAUUUUAAUCAACAUUUUUAAAGCUUCUUGAUUACUACUUGUUCUCAUUGCUAGUAAAGAAUAUACAGUUUUCUCAACCGUUAUGCCCAACUUAUAGGAUUAGGAAUAAUUAUGAAUUGAUCUAGAUACAAUGAUCCCCACACAAUAUAACAUAUAUAAUGUGACAAAUAUUUAUGAUAAAGCAUCGGUGGUAAUGUUUUGGAAGUCUUGGGAUCUUUAUAUCAUUAUUGUUAGCCAUCAACUACCAUGUAUGAUUUGUUGGCUUAACUCUCAUCGGCAAUGACAUCAUAUUCACAGCUAAGGACAGUGAAAGAAAAUAAGAGUGAAAGUUGAUUAGAACAUGUUAAAAAACCAUAUAUAAAACAUAACACUUUGCAGGAAUAAUCUUAAAUUUGUAGCUAGUUCAAAUAUUCCAUUAGUUAAUUAAUUUCUAAUUAAGAAAAAAGCUUUCAAGUUUGUAGAUCAGAAAUCUUGUUGACAGAUUGAUAUAAUACUUGACAUAUGUGUUAGCAUGGGAAGCACCAAAAAAAGCAAGCAAGUUUUAUUAGUACACGUUACAUUGCUAAGGAAUUUAAGCAUCUAAAAUUCGUGUUAUAUAUACCUAUGCAGGAAAAUUAACAACAAAACAAGCUGAGCAUUAUUAGUAAUUGUAAUAUUAAUUAAUUGAACUGCAAUAAUAUAUAGUAUAUAUACGUAGCAAUAAAUAUAAAAACACAUAUUUUAUCAGAGAAAAGCAAUACUAUACAUACUUACACAUAUUUUAGACACACAGUAUAACGUUUACAUUGAGAUCGAAUUGGUAUUCCUUUGCUUGCCAACAUAAGAAUCAACAAUAGUUUAAAAAGAUGAGUGGCAUCCACAUGAUUUGAUAACUUCAAGUUCCUUUAGUAAUCUCACUCUAUUGUGUCCUAUAUCAGCAUGCAUCCAGUACAGGUGAAAGUCUUUCAUGUCUACAAACUAGCUAGUUUUUGAGCCUUCUUUUCAUCAAUUGCCACUACCAUGAACUGUACUUCAUUAAGCAACACAAUAUUUUGAGCGAAAAAAAAAGUAACACAAUAUUCCUUCAUUUCUUUGUUCUUUUUAAGAUCCAGAUUUGUGUGUGUGUUUGUGUGGUGUAACCAGAGAAUUGUUAACACUUAAUGUGCUUAGCUACUUUAAUUCCAAAACCAAGGUUUUUAACAAUUUAGUGAAGAACUGAAGAAUGUAUCAGUAUGUUUUACCCCUUGUUUUUUCUAAAGUCUAAGAUUUCAUUGAAUUAUUAGAUCUACAAGGGCAGCUAAACAAGCAUAGCACAAAAAUGCCCCUGCUUGUGGUGUGCCUCAAACCAUAGCCUCUAGAGAAAUCCAAAGUAAACUAACCCAAAAAGCAGAAUUCUAUAUUUUUUUUUGAUAAGCCACGAAAAUAUUUCAUUAAAACAUGAGGGUUACUCAAUUCUGUAACCCACCAAAGUGAACAAAAGUUUGGCAUUUCACCUGUACCCUUUACAAAAUAUUCUGCUCAAAGCAGUCCCCGUAUAAAAACACCCAAAUUCAUCCCUAUACAAGAAGCAUGGUAUAGAAGCAGAAUUUCAUAUAGACAAGGAGCAUAUCAAAAGAUUCUUUUUCAAAAAGGCUGAAAGUUUUAAAGAGCUAGCCAGUGUAAUAACCUUCAUGACCAAGAUUAUGGUGGACAUUGGUCAAAGUUUACACCCAGUAAAUUUCUUUAAAUAUAAGCAUUAAUAUUAAUGUAAUUCUUAUGAUUCAACAUAAAAUAAAAUAUAUAUAUCAUUUAAAAGAACAUAAAAUAAGAUUGAUAUAUAAUACUAUCAUCAGAAAACUAUAAUUCUAGAUACUUAUAAGGUAUCAAUCUAGUUCAUUCAUACAAUUUUUCCAUACACAGUUAAAAACUUUGCCAUCUUCUAUCUAAUUAACCAAGUAAUUAUGCUAUGCAUAUUCCCCUCAUUAUAACCAAACAUAAAGAUUAUGAAAUGAGACUUGAAAAAUGAAAGAUAGGGCCAAAAAAUUGUCAAGAGUAUUGUAUUCUUUGCUUAAUCUACCCACUUGUUUUACCUUCAUCUUUGUAAAAUCUAUUAAUGGCUGUUUAGCAAUCACCAUGUGGGAAAUCAUUCAGGUUUGGUCAUGAAAAGGUAUUUCAUAAUCCAUAAGAUCCCUAUGGUCAGUGAGAAAAUUUCUGUAUCUGGUAUUAAACAUAUAUCCAAUCUAAUUAUUUUUAAAUACGCAAUACCUUUACAUGUUAGAAGCAGGCCAGUUAAUGUGGAAUAGAAUGAAAAAAAUAUUUAAACAAGAUUAUGGUACAAUAUAACCGAAGGUCCAAAGCCCAAAGAAACAGAAGUCGAACUAGCCUCCAAACUUAGUAACAUCAGUGAUUUAGAGCAUAAUAGGAUAGUGCCCAAUACACCUUUUCUUACAGUGAAACAAAAUAGGAAGCCUUUUUUCUUUUGGAUGCCCUUUUAAUAGAUUAUUGGAGAAGAAGCCUAAUAUGAUUAAACCUGGGCCAGAGGCACAUGGGCCACAUCCAAAUUUUAUAUGGGACAGUAGCCCAGGUCCUAAGGCCUAGUAAAUGGGAGGUUAAGAUGAGACUGAGAAAAGAUGUUGGGCUCAUGUGGGCCUUUUAAGUGCAUUACAGAAACAAAUGCACAGUCAACGGUUGGUGGCAACAUGAUCUGUUUCAUUAAUAAAGGAAAAGGUAGAGAACCCGAUUGAUUAUUUGGAUGCUAGUGAUCUCAGAAGCAGAAAGUGUGGAAAAUGCGAUUAUCUUGAAUUUUUGCGUCCUUUUAUUUAGAUGGAGAUUAAUGUUUAUAGUUCAAAUUUACAGAAUACGCAAAACCGUAAUCCAAAGAACCAUCCAAGUACCUAAGACUUAAGAAGACAAGAAGCUCAGUGCAUUUGACAUGUUCUUAAGAGCCCUUCUUCUUUGUUGCAGACAAAUUUGCACUCCAAUUUUGUGGCAUUUCAUCAUAAAAAUUGCUUGCCCAACUAUGCAGUAAUUAAGCUAGAACAAGAUAUUAUAGUGCAUUAAGCCAAUUCUUGAGAAAAAAGUUCAAUAGUUGAACCACAACAAAAUGAAUGAAAAGUCAACAUACCUCAUAAAGUAUAGUUCCACACCACCUUAAUUUGGGAAAGCGUAGAGAUAAUGAGAUGGAAAAGAUUGAAACUAAAUGUAUGAGAAACCUGCAAAUGUGACGUAUAAAUAUUUGUCAAGCAGGAACUAGUCAUGAAAGCUGAGAGAGUCAGAGAGGUUGGGUUCAUGAAAUCUGAGUAGCUAGGAUAAAGUACAAGAGAAUCCAGUCAAAAGUAGAGAUAAACGUUGCAUGCAAAAGCAGGUCACAUGGUUGGAGUAGGAGAUAAUAAGGAACAGCAUCAUCAAGAUCUGUUUAUCAACAGGAAAGCAUUGAAAAUCAAAUCAAAGCUGAAUAAAAAGUGCAUGGAGAUCACAUGGUGGGAGUUGGUAAGGAAGCAUUUUUUUUUUUUUGCGUAUUAAAUUAAAUAGGUAAGAGCUAGCGAGGCUACCACGCGGACACCUAUACUAACUUCGGUCUGUUCCCCUUCUGUUGGAAAUCCGUGAGCACUAGGUCAAGGAACCAGUUCAGUCCGUAAAGACCCAUAAGGCCAUAAAAGGACCCAUGUAUAGAUAAAAGCCUGAACUUUAUAGUAGAAAGCGGAAUCAAACUUACAAUGGCGUGAAUGGCUUUUGAAAAGAUGGCUGAAAGAACUUAUUCCUAUUAAAAUAAGAGCUGAUAACUAACAGGCAACUGCUGGUGCCCUGCUUAUAAUCAUAUUUUAUGAGACAAAUAUAAUAGGUAGGAAAGGUGAUGAUUCAUGCAGGAUUCAGAUGUAAAAAAAAACUUGAAGUAAGGACCAGAUCAAAAGGGGAGACUCUUGAGAGUUUAGAAUUCAAUUCAAAGUAAGUGCCUGUUGCCAACCAAUAUUGACGAUGUUUGAAGAAAAAUUAAUUUAACAUUUGACGAAAUACAGGGUUUCAUGCUGGCAUCUGCAUAAAAUCUUUGAUAUAGUCUUCCUGGAAACCAUUUUCGGUUAGUAUAAUAUAAUGGAGAGGAACCCUGGAUUUUCUAACACCCAAUUACUUAAUUUGAAUGACUGUAGUAAGAAUGGUAAGACACCCUUGUUUAUGAUAUUGAGAACCGACCAUAAAGUCAAAAGUGUCCUUUAUCUUUUCAUUGCAUGAAAUCACAUGGUGCCCAUAUAAUCAACAAGCUACAAGAGUGGACAAGUCAAGCAGAAGAGAUACCUGAUCCACGGAACGGCAGACAAGUGCCCAAUCUUUAGAAUUUGGAUCUCAAAAGGAGCAAUAGAAAAAUAGUUGGUAGACAAUUUGCCAAUGUCCUUGUCGAUUACGAAGCGCCGUUUGCAUAAUCUACCAACUAAAACGAUAUACAUGGGAAAAAGGCCCGUAAUACUUACAAUCCAUCGAUGGGCAACGGCGGCUCUCGAAGCGAAAACCUCAAUUGACUACAGGGACAAAUCACGAAAACAAAGAUGGGAUUUGAAUUUUGAAAUAUUUUUGUUUCUAACCAGUCUCUUGGAACUUGGAGGAACUUGAGGGACAUCUUUUCCUGUUGAAAACCCUCCUCUGUGAAAACAUUUAUCUAAGCCCAGCUCCCAUCCCCCUGUAGAAACCGAAUAUGCCUCUGGCUCUACCUAGGUAGUAUGCGCGUUUUCAAACCCUUCACCCCGACACUCAGUGAAGCUAAAUUUAAGAGCACCCACUAGGUCUACUCCAGCAAAUGCUGACAACACCUAGCCCCAACACGUAAGGUCACUCUGGCGAGCAACCAGCUGCUAAUCUGGCUCCUAUAUACAUCUUCAUGCCAUUUAAAGAGGAAAACUGAGUCAAAUUUUAGCAACUCGCACACCCUUUAACUUUUCAGUGAUUCAUUGACUUUACACAACCUUUUUUCAAACCGAUUCAUUGUCUACAAUGAACACAUAGAAAAUGAAACUACAAGGUUUUUCAAACACAUAUAAAUCUAGUUCUUGAGUAUGAGAAGCCAAAUUAAUCAUCAAAGUUUACAUAAUAUAAAGUAGUUAAGAAACGAAAAGUUGUGGACAACUUCAAACUAAGAAUAAAGUAGUUAAUUGUUCUAAUGUUCAAAGCACCUUCACAACUUCAAAUUCCACGAAUCGGACUUUUUCUUGAGCACGAGUUCAUUAAUAGGCAGAGAAAUGUAGAACAAGCUCCAAAUGUUAAAAUAGUUCCCUUUCUCAGAAGCCAGAGCAUAAACCUGAAACCAACAGUUACUAAUUACUAGCGAGCAUUUACAACUUUGAAGGCAAAGUUUCAACUUCCGAGGCCAAAUAGACAACUUAGUCAUCAAACAAAUGGUGUCAAAGAACUGAUAAAGCAGCUUAAUGAAGUGAUAUUGGAAACCAUUUUAAACUAUUUCAAUCUCAUAAAGAUAAUUACACUUCGAUUUUUGUAAAAAAAACCCCUUGAUAAACAACUUAUUGUGAUCGAUUAGAUACGUGCCUUUCCUCAUUUGCAAAGUGCAGAGCAUUGCGCCCAUGCAUCAAAUCCCUGGAACUGAUCAAGAAAAAUAAAAGACAGCCCUGGAACUGCUCAGAGAAUCUAAAGAGGCAAAGUGAGUAACAAAAAAGGGAUGAUGUAGAAAGAAAAGAAAAAGAUUACCUGAGAUCUGCAAUUAUACUGAGAUUUAGAGGUGGAAAUUCAAAGUAGCAGAGCUAUGAGACUCCAAGAAUGGUAAAGGCAGAGAAAACAUAUGUGGAUUUUUCCUUUCCUUCACUGGAUGAGUAGAUGCACUUACAGAGGCAGAAUUCUUCUUUUUUUAUCUUUUUAAACUUCUGUCACCUUUGCCUUCGGAGUAUGUGUUUUAGGAACAACUCUAGCUGACCUUACAAGCACCAUUAACACAGAUUCCAUGCAUGAUUAAUGAAUGCAGAAAUCAUAGGCAAAGAUCAUUUAACGAAGUGAUAGAUUUUCAAUCAGAGUAUUCUUUACGUAAACACCCCAUUCAUUCAAGCAGAUGCUUAAGAUUCCAAUAGCAAGCUCCAGAAAUCAUUUGUACAACCAAAGAAGCAGGUACACUUCAAUCCAACAACCAAAACCAUCAUCAUGUUUAUGACUGCAUCAUCCAUCUCAUCUACCUUAAAUUGCUAACUCCAAAUUCCUGCUAUUUAUAUUGCACAUUGUAAAGAAAAUGAGGGACAAACCAACCACUCAGCUAAUGUUCAGUAAAGCAAUAUAUUUGACCCUUUAGUAGAGUUUAAAGCAAAAACAUGUAAACAAGAUUCUUCAGACCUCCAAAAAGACUUACACAAGUAGUCCUAAUCAUACAAGUAAUAACUCUGAGUGCCGGCACACAUGUAACCAGAAUUACAGAAAGCGGUAACAUAAAGAUUGCCAUGAGUUUAAUAACUUCCAUAUUUCAUUUGCCAUAAGUCUAACAAAUCUAAUCAAAAAGCCUGUAAUCAGCAACUGAAAAUAGGAAGAAACACGUAAACAGCUUCAUAAAAAUGAUCCUUUGCCACUUCAUUUCCAAUUCCAUUUCAAAAAAUGAUAGCAAACAUAAAUUCCAAACGUGACCAGAACUCAAAACAACUCAACUAAUUCGCACACUUUUAUUACAAAAACAAGCUUCAACUACCUUCAUUUCCGCUCUCAAAAUCCUCAACCCGAACCUUCCCAACCCUCUCAUUCCCCGGUAAAACACACCAAUUCGGUGACUGCACAGCUCUCAACCACUUAAAAUCAUCCACAUUCCCCCAAUUUCCUGUCUCCUCACUCAACCCUGCCUUCUCUAAGUCCAUCUCAAUCCCUUCAUAAUCCAAACAAUACGGGGCAAAUCUCACAACAUUGCUGUCCUCAAUUAUAGGCCUACUCCUCAGUCUCAAAUAGAAAUCACUCCUUUUCGCCAAAUGAAUCCUUAUCUGAUGCGAAGCCAAUACAAAGACACACCCUUCCACUUCCUCUAUCAAAAUCGACCCAAUUACCGGCCCCAAAUAAACCUUGCAAUCCUUCAAUCUGUUCAUAAAAACCGCAUUGCAGCAGCCAAUUAAUCUCACUUCGCAGGAAUCCAGAUUGGAUAGCGUAAAUUCUCCAACUUCCGUUCCCUUGAACUUCUGAAUUAGGGUUUUGUUUGUUUUAUUUCUAAACCCUGGGGAAUUGGGGAUUUUGAAAUUGGUUACUGAAACGGCGUCAGAUUUUACGGGUUCGGGUUCAGGUUCUUUGGGGAGUUCCUUUUUUGCUGUGGCUUUGUUUUUGAAGGAGAAUUUCCUUUUGGGGAUCAAUUCGGAGUUUAAAAUCUCGAGAUUUUGCUUCAAAUCGGAGAUGGUUUUGAGAGAAGAGCGGACUUCAUAAGAAGGAAGGAAGUACGAGGUCUCCGCGACGAGUUUUUCGAGGUCCGAGAUGGACGAAGAGAUAUUGGCGAAAUGAGUUUUGAGGCGAGAUGGAUCGGAUUGAGCAAUGAGACGGGAGUCGGCGAGUUGGGAGUCGAUGGAUUGCUUGGAUUCGGAGAAGCGGGAGAGGAAAGAGGACGUGGCCUCGGACGAGUUGGUUGAGUCGGAUCGGCGAGCGAGUGAGUUGUCUAAACGAGCGUGGUGGCGAGUGGAGAGGCGAUCGAGCAUGGCUUGGUGCUUUUUCUGUAAGUCGGCAUCGUGGUCCAGGGUUUUGGCUGGGAGAUUUGGGUCUGGCCGUUCUUCUUCCAUGGUGAUUUUGAGGUUUUUUGCUUUUCUUUUUUCUUUUUUUAGGUUGCAGAAAAGGUAAAUCAGCUGGGACGCUAAUGAAGAAAAAGGCCGCAAGGGAGAUCUAGUAGACCAAAAACGACGCCGGUGUUCAUUAUGAAAUUUUCCCGCCGUGUGAUGGUUAUUAUAAAAUGGGGAAAAAAAGAAGAAGGAUUCCUAUUUAGUGUUUAUUUCCCACUAUUAAAAUGGACAGUUAUUGUUUCUCAAAUUGUAAAUGAUUCAUAAUUAAUAUUGUUUGAACAAAAAAUUAAACAUCAUUAAAAAAUAGUUAGGAAUUUGUUUUAUUAUAAGAAAUUACAAAAUGAACAGUGAAAUACUUCUACUUAAUAAGACAUUGUGAUCCAAGCUGCUUUCACAAGCUUUGUUGAUGAAGAUUAUAAAGUUUGGUUUAAUAAACUCAAUUCAAUGGGUUAAAAUGCAGAUUUAAUGACAAUCAGAAUUGGUAUGGGAAGAUUGAAUCUGUGAAGUGCUCUUCCAAGAGCCAAAUUAAUAAACAAUCUCAGGUAAACCAAAAAUAAAGAGAAUCCUAUCAACAACAACAAAAUACUAUGCACAAAAUGGUCUAAAAUAGAAUUUGCAACAAUUUAAAGAGCCCUUCUUAAGCCAUGAAAGUGUGAAGUAUUUGGCAUGGUUCAAGCAGCAGAUUUCUCAGCUUGUUCAGCUGCCUCUUCCUCUCGCAACUUUAUCAAAGAUGGGGGUGGUUUUACAACAAUGCUUUUCUUCCAUCGCCGAUCAAGCUUUCUUGACAAUCGCUUGUUGAUGCCCUCCUCAAUCUCUCUUUCCCGUUUAACAGUAAGCAUGCGAGCAAUCUAUCAAGAAGAACACUUUCUUUGUUACAAUAAUGCUCAAUGUAAAGCUUAAAUACACAGAAAAACUACGCUUAGAUACACAGUAAAACUACCCUCAAUCUUUACAAAGGGCAUAAACAGUAUAUGAUCAUCAAUUAUCUGCCUUCUUGUCUCUAUUGGUUUGCAAUGUAACCAGAGAACUGGGACCACAGAAUGUAAAAUCCAUGUAUGUUGUCCCUAAUACAAUUUAGCACAUAUAUUGGCACCAUGACGAAUGAUAGAGCGGUCUAACUUUAUAUAAUAUAUGUAAAAUGAUCAGAAUCAACCCCUUAUAAAUACCUUUUAAAAUAAGCAUGCUACAAGCACUUUUAAUAAUAGAAGAAAUCCUCUAACAACCCUCUCUCCCACAACCAAAAUAUAAAGAGAUAAACAUGCAAACAAAGGGGAGCAUGCUCAACUACAGUCAGGAGACGCUUAUAUCAGCAAUAUCAGGUCUACAGCAUGAUUUCUCUUUCAUCAGUGCACUUCAAACAAUGAAAUACAUCCUGCCUACCACACACUCAUUCUUAGCCAUGCUUAUAUGACUUCAUUUUAGCCUCUAUCCUCUUGCAACUGCCCUAAGUGAAACCAGAUCACACCUAAAUAUGGCUACUACUUGUACAUCAGCAUAAUUUAAGUUUGGGUAACAUGAGGCUCAGGCAACCAUUUCAGGUAGCUGUUAUAUUUCACCAUGAUAUAUUUUAAGGAGUUUGAAGGUUACCUUUGUAUGCUUUUGCUUUACCCUCAAGGUGCUCCCCGUACAAUGCAAAGGAUGAUAACACUAUUCUAAAUAAUAUUAUAUCAAUAAAAGACCAUGGCAAAGGGUGUCUUUCAUUAAGUCCAAAUACUGCUUUAACAAUGAACUUGAAAAUUUAUUGGAGAAGUGCCAUAUUAUUUGCUAAUCUCUGCUUCCACUCAAUUUUUAGACAAAUUGUUUUUUACUGCAAAAUGUCUGAGCCCAGGCAUAGCAAGAAAAUGGAAUAAUCAAAAUAUCUGGCAAAGAUAACUGUCAAUCAGCUAUAUCUACCCAGUACACAAUUCUACUGUACUAUGGAUCACUUCAAAAAGCAGUUGAAUUUAACCAUAAUCCAAAUAAAGCCACAAAAUCUCAAACCACCGUUGACGACAACAACCAACAAAUUUUCUCACUAUACAGCAUCAGCUACCUAUACAGAUAAUAUUACAACACACCUCUAUUUAAGACCAUAUCCUCAGCAAACUCAGGUAAAACUGAGGUCCUUUUAUAUGGUUCCAUCCCUGUCCUCUUUGGCCAUCCUCUUAUCUCUUGACAUUGGAAUGAAUCCAAUUUGACAGAAAAUAAUAAUUACAGAAAAAGCGGAAAACCAGCUGGAGGCAACAUAUUCAUCAAGAACAAGCUACCAAAGCCACCACUUGUACAGCCCACCCACUCACUUUUCCAUCAAGGUUUCACAUGAAACAUAGAACAUAUCCUCCUUUCAGAUGUUAGGGUUUAACACCCCUUCUCUUGCAAAGGCCUAUGUCCUAGCCUCCCUUCUUAAUUUCAUAAGAGGAUCCGUGCCAUUUGGCCAUAACAACAUUGGUUUCCUACACAACUUAAGCAAAAGAAAGCACCCCAAAUUUCGAGAGGAAAAAAGAAUAAAGAACCAACCAAAUCUAAAAAUAAGAAGGAUGAUGAAGAAAUACACACGCAUACAGAUGCAUAUCCAAAAAGCUAACCUUGUGAUGGUUAUGCUGCUGAUUACACAAAGUUCACAAUAUCAAAUCUUUGCAUUAAGCUUCUUUGGUUCACAAUUUGAAGGCAAAUGCAUUGCAAUGACAACAGCACCCCAUAAAAUUUUUUGACUUCUAAUGAUAUGAAAACAAUUGUUGCUUAUCAAAUUAAUCAAAAUAUAUUUAUCAUUCUCACUCGCAUCUUCCAACCAAAGUUUAGAUUUUUGGAAACUUGAAUCACAAUUAACAUUGACAUUUUUUUGUGUUUUUAGCAAAGUUCUCUAGCUCCUAUCUAUAGAAACUUGUAAGACUCUACUUCGAUGGGAAUUCAAAAUCCCAUCAUUCCCUUCUACCAUGUCUUAACAUAAAACUAUAAUAAAACCCAGAUUUUAAUAUCCCAUUUCAAAUCCAAUGCAAUUGUAAAAUAAAAAUAAAAAUAAAUAAAUAAAUAAAUAAAACCAGAAUGGAGGAGGGGGGGGGGGGGGGGAAUACCCUUUUGCGCAUACGCCGAAACUCGCUAGACUUGAACUCAUUACGAACCGAUUUCUGAAGACGAAGCAUGAAAAGCUCUCCUUUUAGCUCAACCACUUCCUCGUUGAUUUCCUCAGUCGUUUUGGCCCUUAUUUCCUUCAUUUCUUCUUCUCUCUUUGCCAUCAUCACCACUGACGACGACGCUGAUGGUUUUCGAAACGAGGUCGUUUGAGAAGGCAAUGGUCGGGGACAUAAGUGCUGUAUUCGGACGCCAUUGAAGGAAGUUUUGGGGAUUGAAGAUUUGGGUUUUGGAGGGAAAGUAACGGUUGUUGGGGAAGCAACUGAGAGGCUCAACAUCUUUCCUUGUUUGGCUUCAGCUCUGUCUUCGUGGCUUGUUUCCCCGUGAGCUCGCUUCCUCUCCAGUGCUUCACUUGGGAAUGUAGAUAAGGCAAAAGUUUUUUCUUUUUUCAAUCGUUUUUUCCAGUGAAAAAAUAGAUAAGGCAUUUUCCCCUUUUAGCCUUUUUUUUUUUUUUUACUUUAUUUAAAACUAUUAUUUUUUAGAUAUAUAAAACGUAAUUUAUUUAAAUAUAAUAUUAAAAUAUUAGUAUAAUAAUAAUUUUAUUAUUUCAAAUACAAAAACAAAUCCAAACCUUAACUCUCAAAAUAUCUGCAAGUGCCAACUCAACAAACACUUUGAAUUAUUAAAAUUUUAUUUGAUUGAUAUUUUUAUUUGGAUAAUAAUUUCUCAACAUGAGAUUUUAAAACAUACUAGCAAUUCUCCUUUUUAAUUUUAAUGUUUGUUUCCCUCUCUCUUUUUAUGCUUUUGAUUUGGGUUGUUGUGCAAAGAAUUUUCUUACUUGAAAUUGAGUUUGUUGCAAUUUUUUUUUCCUUUGGAUAUAUAAGCAUAUAAUUCAGAAACUCUACACAUCCGUCUGCUAAGAAAUAUUACCAAAUCAAAGCGAAUAGUCAACUUUUUGUUCAAAAAGUUUGAAAACAAUUUCUAAACAAAAUAUACACUUUUAAAUAUCCUUUCCUAACCAAACCUACUGUUUUUCCUUUAUAAAGAUGUUAUUUUAUCCAUUUUUAUUGCUAAUGUACGACUUGAAUGCAUUAAGAGGGAGAAAAUUUUGAAAAGGUAAGAAGAAAAAUUCAAUGCAGAUUCGUAAAAAUAAAGGGUAAUAAUGUGACCAGUGACCACCACUUAAUGAAAGUCAACACGACAUAAAAACUUGCCUGCCAUUGCCAUUUGCCACUUGCCACCGGCAAAGCAAUAAUGCAACUAGUUUUUUGCUUUGUAUUUCUGGGUGAUCUACAAAGCACUAAUUAAAUUAAUUAAUUCUUUUCGAUUGCUGGAAAUUUGCAACAAAUGCAUGCAAUUUUCUUAGCUUCAAUCUCAUGGCACUUUGCUAUAAUGUUAUUAUGAUGAUUAAUUUUUGCUAACAAAUGCCCUAAUGAUAUACAGAUACUUGUUAAAAAUAGUAUUUAGCAUUAAAUGAUAAAUACUUGAACUCCAAUCCAAUCUUGUAGAGGAAUUAAUAAUGGAAAAAGGAUUAUUCUUCGUAAGCGUCUUAAUCAGAAAAAUAUUAUUAUUAUUAUUAUUGUUAUUAUUUAAAAAAGGAAUGAUGAUGUAAAUGGAAUUUAGGCUAGCUAACAUAUUUUAUGAUUUUUAUGUUUAAAAAGAAUGCUAUAACACAUAGCAUAGGCUUGGUAUGAGAUGACCAUUCUAUAGAUCUAUAUUAUUGGAUUAUUGUGUUUUUUUUAAUUAAAAAAUAAGAUUCGAAUUCUACUUUAAGACCAUGUAUUAAUUAAUGAGUCAAAUGCACUGAUGUUAUUGAAUUAUUGAGUUAAUAACUUUAUAUGGAUGACAUUCAAAUAUAUGAGAUAUAAAUGUAAAUAUGUGUACAUAUAUAGAAUUAUUUUACUUUAUAAAAUGAGAGAUUCAAAUUUAAUUUUUAAAAUAAAAAAGUUAUAUUUACUAUAAAAUUAAAUGUAUAAGUGUAUGACAUUUUUCCUUAAGUUAUGAGAGGCAUUGAUUUUUAAGUUUUAAUAAAUUGCAUAUCGUGAUGAAUGAUAAGAUUAUGACGAUGAUCUUAAGAACUAAUAAAACAAACACUAUUUAAAUUCAUGUUUGUUGAACAAGUCUUUGCAAGUAAUUUGUAUGGUAGAGCUAGGAUUGGACAUAUAAAGGUUCUCAGAAUGAGGUUGAGCGAGCAUUUGUAAAUUAAUAACUACGUUUCUCUUUUAAACUAAUAUUACUCAUUAACACUUAUUUUUUUUUUUUCAUAUCUGUUCAAAAUCAAUGGAUUGGUUGUUCUAAUUUACAUAAAUUAAAAUGAAUAAUUCAAAUUAGUACUUAUGUGUUCGAUCCAAUGCCUAAUGGUAUUUACGUAUCUCCUACUUUUAAAAAAAUAUAGAUUUUCUAUAUUCAAAAUUACGAUUUGAUAAAAAAAGGAAUUGUUAAUAAUAUAAAUUAACAGUUAAUACUCAAAAUUUAUCAAGUGUGAGCCUUUAGUACUUGAAUAUGACCUGUUGAUUUCUUGAUAAGAUAAGAUAUAUUACUAUUAAUUAACGUAUGGUUAUUAAUAUCUUUUCUGUUUUUUCAAAAAAAAAUUGUCAAAUUCCUCAAUAAAGUUUAAAAUUUGUUAUUCACCAAUAAAAGUUUAAAUGAGAUUUAUUCAUGGCCAAAUAAAUAAGUUAAACUAUUUUAUUUAUUUAUUUUAAUUAAAACAACAUGGAAAAACAUAGGAAAUCUUAUCCAAUAUUCCAAAUCCUAUCAAUUAGAAAGAACAUAUAUAUAAAAAAAUGAAACAAAAGAAGACUGAGGUUAGAAAUUUGACGCAUAAUAGUAAAAAAGGACCUAUUUAUUGCAACUCAUCCAAAAUCCCUUUUUAUAUUUUUCAUUUUACAGCUAGGCAUCACAUGACCAUGAGUGGCAAUAGCAAAUAAGAAAGCGUCAAUUAGUUUAUUCUUAUGUAGUUUACCCUUUUUUUUUUCAUUUGUGAUGCGUUCAUUUUUUUUCCAUCUAUUUUAUUAAUUUAUUAAAUUAAAUUUAUAUUUUUAUGCCACCAUUUUCUUUUACCAUCUUUAUUUUCUUCGUCUCUCGUCUCUCCCCAAACGCUCUCAAAACAAAACAAAAACAAACCCUCAUUUCCUUUUGCCUGUUUUUCACUGCCUCAAAACGGAAAUAGGAAAAACGAAAACAAGUUAUUUUUUUUUUCUUCCCUUCCUCCAGACAAACCCUAAAGGAAUUCAAAUCGAACGGAGGAGAGUGAGAGCGAGCGAGUGGUGAAUGGAAAGAUAGAAUAGAAUCGCUGAGUUGAAUAGGUCGGAAGAAGAUCUGUGUUCGAGUUGUAGACAAAAAGUCAAUUCUAUAAAUGGGCGCGGCGGGUUCAAAACUCGAGAAAGCUUUGGGCGACCAGUUCCCUGAAGGCGAACGAUAUUUUGGCCUCGAAAACUUUGGCAACACUUGUUAUUGUAACAGCGUUUUACAGGUUUUUUUGUUUUGUUUUCCUCUUCCCCUUUUUAAUAACGGUUAAAUUUUGAAUCUAAUUCGGUUUUCUUUUUUUUCUUUUAAAAAAAUUAUGUUGAAUUUGAUCGUUUAUGUUAAUUCCAAUAUUAUGAACUUGAUUGCUUUUGAAUUUUAAGCUAUGAAUAUUUUUUUCUUUCGUAUUUUCCUUUGUGCGAAUUUUUUGUGGUACAUAUUUUUUAUUAGCGCUGUUUAUGCAAGUUUUCACGGUUUGUACUUUUCGGUUGCUGUAGCAGCAUUUCUUUGGUGAUUCCUUGUUGAUGAUUUGGAAAAUGUGCUCAUGCGGCUAGCUGAUAGCGGUAGAAAGCAAAUAAAUUUUGGAAAAUCCCUGAAUCCAAUUUACAACCUUUGAUUUGGAUUUGGUUCUAUCAUUUUUAUGUUUAGCAGUGAAGUUCUCUGGUAAUGACUAGCCGUGUUGCAUUCAGGUCACUUGGUUGUAACAAAUUUAGAUUGAAAUUAGGAAGGUUGGCUUUUUCAUUUGUUUGCUGAGAUGGUGUAGACCAGACAUUGACCGUGGUAGACGACAACUAAUAUUAGGGAGAGAAAGCAGUCUCGGGGUUGGAUGCUGGUGAUAAAAUAAAUGAUUAUCCAAUUCAUCAUUCCUGUUAAGAUAUUUUAGAUUUCUAAUAUUUUUAAUAUUGCUUUUGUUUCUUCGUUCAAUUAAGCUGUGUGAUUGUUGUAAAGGUGAGUUUUGUGAAAUAUUUGGAAUUUAUUUGGUUAGAUUAGUUUAUGCAUGGUAUGAUAGCUAGUGGAUUUUGAAAGUUUCAUGUGGCAUUGAGAGGUUGACUUAGAUUACACAAGAUCUGAAUUGUUUGAACACUCAUAUCUGGAUGAAUGCAACUGUAGUGUUUAAAUGCUAUAUACUGUUACCAGACUCUUUAGUUCCUGUGACCACCUUCUUUUUUUUAAAAAAAAAAUUUAUGCUAUGAGACUCUGAGAUCUUUGCUGCUUGGCUUUCCCAUUAAUUUUACAUGAUUAGCGCAUUUAUGGUCAUUUGGGCAGGAUAUGGUAUAGUUUUAUGUUGAGUGUUGGAUGUUACUAUUUAAAUUUGUUGAACGACGGUUCCCCCUCAGUUGCUGAUCAAUGUCUCAUCUCAUUUAUUUAUUUUUUGUCAGGCACUUUAUUUUUGUGUCCCAUUUCGUGAACAGUUGCUAGAAUAUUAUUCAAGCAACAAAAAUGUUGCUGAUGCUGAAGAGAAUCUGCUGACAUGCUUGGCAGAUCUGUUUACACAGGUAAUAAGUGUGCUUUUUUGGCAUAGGAGGUAGUUUGUCGUAUAGAAGCCAAUGGUGUUGAAAUGUAUUUUUUUUUUGAAGAGUCAAAGAAUUUAUUUUAAAAUGAUGUUUAGUAGCAUUAGUUUCUUUUUUCCUUUUACCAUAACAAUGCACAUAAGUUGCAAUGCCUUGUUCUGGUCUUGACCUUGAUUUUCAAGAGAUUCUUUUAGUUAUUUUUUCUUUUGUUAUUUGCAUGCUAGGAGCCCACGUGCAUUUAGUUAGAAGAAUGAAAGCCUAAGAUAUCAUGUUCAUGAUGUAAUGAAGAUGGUUCACCGUAUAAUCUUUUAACAAGAUCUGAUCAGAAAUUAAGAUUUCUAUUAUUGUCAAAUAGCUUUUAAAGUUUUUAUCAUUGCACAAGGACCUGGCUUCGUUUCAACUUACUUGCAAGAAGGGAUGAUGUGUGUGCAUUUUUGUUUAUUAUUUUUAAUCGUUCUAAUGUUUUUGAUAAAUCAUUUUUAUCUCUAAAUCCUAUCAGAUUUUAUGCAGUGUGUAUGAUCUGCUUUAUGUUCCUGUGCAAGAGUUCCUUUCUCAUAUCUGCUUCUCUUUUUCCUUUUUUCCCCCUUUCAUUUUCUUUUGAAAGGGUUUGGUUUUAUACUUCAAUAAUUGCAGAGUAUAUUAUCCUUUUGGAAAAUUGCUUAUAUCCCAGCAAAAUUUUUUGUUCAAGGUUUUCUUUUUGACCAUUUAAAGUCCUAAAUUUCAGCUGUAGUUGGGAAGGUGACACUUUUUCUGUUUUCAGCAAAUCUUAUUAGUGGACUGAUAUAUUCUCCCAUAUUUAUUCAUGCCACAUAUAUGGUUUUACUUUAUUACUAUAGGGACCAACAGUUGGUUGUUCCUUAUGUUUAGAUAAGUUCGCAGAAGAAGAAAACAGGUGUCAUUGCGCCAAAGCGCUUUGUACAGAGAUUGAAGAAACAAAAUGAGCUUUUCCGCAGCUAUAUGCACCAGGUAGUAAAGUGCUUUUUAUUUGUUUGGUUCAAGUACCGCAUUCACUUCCUUUAUAUUGAUGAAUUUUCAUCUUGCAACUAUGCUGCGGUUAUAUUUGCUUGGUUCAAGGUUUCAAUUAAUGUAAAGUAGUAGCUUUUUCCUUGGCAUGUCAACCAAAACAUUUGGACUUUAUUUUCUUCAAUGGAAAAUGCAGAAGAGAAUAACUAUUUGUCUCUCUUUUCUUCGGUAGGAUGCUCAUGAGUUCUUGAAUUUUUUGCUAAAUGAACUUGUCGACAUAUUGGAGAAAGAGGCUCAAGCAGCUAAAAAUGAUGCAGAAACUUCAUCACCACCUGAAAAGACUGCAAAUGGGCCAAAGAAUCCUCAGGCAAAUGGUGUUCUAAAAGAGCCUUUGGUUACAUGGGUACACAAGAAUUUUCAGGUGAGUUUGCUAGUUAUAUUUCUAUAUUCUGAUUAAUUGUUCUGGCUUGUGCUGUGUUUACUUUGCUUGACACAAAAUAAAGAUGAAAUCAAGUUAUAUUCUUGGUUGGGUUAUAUCUAAAGGAAAUUAUAACAUACUUUGAAAAUUGAAACCUUGGCAGCAUGACCAAAAUUAUAGGAAUGUAUUAGGUCUGAAAGCAUUUGUGAAGAAAAAUUAAUUUAACCUAUGCUUUAAUAGACAGAGAAAGUGAAAUAAAUACAAGCAUACUAUCUGCAAAUGCUUCAGGAUAUCAUGGCUAAAAUCUUUUUGUGGGUCCUUGUAUGUAGGCUGCUAGCAUAAAAUAAUAUUGGUACUUGCAUUAGUGCAUUACUUUUACUUUUAUAUGAUUAUGAUAUCUCAUUUAUAAUCCAUAAGAUAACGACAAUGAAUGGUGAUUGCCUGUAUCUUUCCCUCUUACAUCUUAUUUAUUGACAAUGUUUAUAAAGGAAUGCUAUGCUUUGCUAUACUUUUACUCUCCAUUGAAUUCUUUAGUAGAACAAUUGUGCCCCAAAUCCCUCCUCUUUGUGUUACCUCGUGAGUUUUUGUGUGUGGCUUUUUGUUUGUUUGCUCUGUGCAUUUUGGGAAGAAUCUUAUCAUCUCCUGGGGUAAUUUGAGACAGGGAAUACUUACCAAUGAGACAAGAUGCUUGCGAUGUGAGACAGUGACAGCAAGAGAUGAAAUUUUCUUUGACUUGAGCCUUGACAUUGAACAAAACAGUUCAAUAACUAGCUGUUUGAAAAAUUUUAGUUCUACCGAGACAUUGAACGCAGAGGACAAAUUUUUCUGUGACAAGUGCUGCAGGUAAUUUUCCUUUAUACAUGUUUUAAAUCCCUUGAUGUGUUUUAGUUUGUAAUUGAUUAUUACCCCGUUUUCUUCUCACAUGGUUUAAGAUUCAUCUUGUAAUGUAGUUUACAUUGAUAUAAAUAUUUACUUGACUCCUUUUAUCAUGUGUGAGAUUUUCAGAAUGGCCAAUUCUGGUCAUGGGCUCAAAUGAGUUAUUAGUGUUAUCCAUUUUUCUUAAUAGUUCAAAAAUUAAACCGAGAAUGUUGCAUUUAAUGGUUUUGUCUUUACAAAUAGUUUGUAACUUGAUACAAAGUUUAUAGUUUAAUACCUAGAUGGUUCCAAAGAUGCAUAUCAUAUAAACAAUUAAACUUUGGAAAGGAAUGAUGUUUAGUUACUUGCAGUUUGCAAGAAGCCCAGAAGAGAAUGAAGAUAAAGAAGCCUCCUCACAUCCUGGUUAUUCAUUUGAAGCGGUUCAAGUACAUUGAGCAGCUUGGCCGGUACAAGAAGCUCUCCUACCGCGUCGUGUUUCCACUUGAGCUGAAGCUGAGCAAUACUGUGGAGGACGCGGAUUCAGAGUAUUCUCUAUUUGCUGUAGUAGUUCAUGUGGGUAGUGGACCAAACCAUGGGCACUAUGUUAGCCUUGUGAAAAGCCAUAACCACUGGCUAUUUUUUGAUGACGAAAACGUGGAGAUGAUCGAUGAGUCAGCAGUUCAGACAUUUUUUGGGUCAGCCCAGGAGUAUUCAAGUAAUACAGAUCAUGGGUAUAUCCUGUUUUACGAAAGCCUUGGUGCAAACAAGAGCUGAGAAGAAGGUUUGAUUUCGCCAACAGUAGUUAUUCUAAUCUCUCGGACCUCAUUUUUCUUAAAAUUGUCUAUGCGUAUUAAAUUUUUUUCUCACUUUUAUUAAAAAAAAAAUCAUUUUCCAACCUUGUGGGAAGAGCUGGCAUGUAUCAGUGAGGUGAUGUGGGUUGCGAAAGAAUGUAUACUUAGGUUGUUGCCAUGUACAGUGGAUAGUGGAAGCACACUGUCCUUGUUUUUUCACAAUAAGAGGAAAAAAAAUAGCAGUGUAUAUGGUGUGAGAAUAUCACAGAGACAGUUUGUAUUCUUCAUGGUUGAGCAUGUUUUUAACAUUAGCAAUGCUAUUGGAGUUGCUACCAAUUUCCUAGAUAGAUGUUGUUGUUUUCCCAACAAAACAAAUCAGAUCCAACCGCUAUGACUAUCUGAUUAGGAAAAAGAAACAAGAAGAAGCAACUGUUGGCGCACAGUUAACAUUGAGCAGCACCCACUGUGGCCAACAUUUGGAAGGAUAACAGGGUGGUCCUAACUGAGAUAUUACUCUCAAGAGUGUCAAGCAAAUAAAUACUCCAUGUAGAUGUAGCAUGGCCAUGGAUCAAAUGAUAUGUCAAAAUUAUACAGCUGUUAAUCCCAACCCACUUGAUGAGUAAAGGACCACCAAAUGAAUCGGCUUGUUAUGUUAUUUACAGAUGAAUUAUAGCACCACUUACUGAUGAUACGCCAGCUCAAAGUCAAACAAGAUUUACAAAGAGAAUAACGGGAGAUCAGUUCACUCAAGGUGUGUAUGCAUGAAAGUGUCAGCAUCUAACAGUUUUGCUAGAUCAAUCAAGUCUUCAUCCAAAACUGUUUCUGUACUGCUGAGAACCUUAUCGUACAUGACCUGCCAAGUUAAUUCAAAUAGAGAAGUUCUGCAACAUCAGUUGUGUCAGAUAAAGUACUAGGUUUUCAUGCAUGCUAUUAACUCCUUAUACCGAUACAUCCAUGAUAUAAUACCAAGAUCUUGCCCAGUCAUUUCACAAAAGCAAGAUUUAUUUGAAAACUCUGGGCAUCUCUGCUAAUAUUCCUUGUUCAGUUUAAUAAAGAAGCUUCUGUAAGUGAAAUCAUGCAAGAGGCAUCAUCUAUCUAGUACUUUUACCGACUAACAAAAUAUUAGAGAGAAUAUUUCAAUUACCUUUGUCUCUUGGAUCUCAGUGACGACAUUCUUCAUCCUACUAUAUUGAUCUCUGCCUGCAGGAUUCUGAGCCAUGGACUUCACUCUGGCUAGUGCCUUCUGUAACCUUUCUUCUGUUUGCUUCCUUCCUUCUUUCAGGAAAUCAUAAUCAUCCUCCUUUGGGGGUGGUGCACGUAUGCUGGAGCCCUCAGUGAGUGCUUCUGGUUUGAAUCCACGCAAACCACUUCCUUUCCGUCUCCAUCGCAAGAUCACCUUCUCCAAAAUUCCUACUGACCAGACUAUCUUCCUAUAUGUUUUCCUGACCUGAUGGCCUCUUACAUGAGCCUUUCAUUAGAAAAAAUAAAUAAAUUAAUUAAGCAAUUUUUUUUAAAAAUACUAACAGUUAGAAUUCAACAGCUAUGCUUGUCUCGAAAAAUCCUUGCUGGAUAAAGGGGAGGGGGAUGACUAAAUAUAAAGCAAAAACCAUAAACUAGAGCAGCAGUUGCAAUUGAACCUGAAUCUUGACAAUCCGUUGGCGGAUUAUUAAAAAUUCUUUUCUACCCUUCCAACCACGAAACUUAUUUUGUAUGCGAAUGGCAGCCGCUUGCACAUGCUCAUCAUGUUGUCCAGGCUUGUUUGACUUGACUGCUAUAAGUGAAAGAGCACGCUCAUUUGACAUUCCAAAUUUACCAUCACCAUACUCUUUUAGCUGCCUUUUCUGGAAGGACUGCACCCUGAAGACUUGAUGAAUACGAGCAGCAGCUUGAGUGGCAUUACGAACAGCAGCUAAUGAGUCUUUUAACGAUGGGCCAUCUGAAGCAUCCCCACAGCCGAGUGGAGCUGUGCUUCUCUCCAAAAUUUUCUGUAUUGCAUCUGCUCUAGAAUCCACGGUAUCGUUAUUGCCUUGGUUAUCCAAAUUGAGGGAUCGAAGGUGGAAACUCAAAUCAGAUUCUGCAAGAUAACCAGAAAUUCCUUUAUGUCCAUUGGUAGAGGCCAGGUCAGCAGGUGUUCUGCCUAAAGGAUAUUUAGGAGUUGGAUCUGUUAAUGCUCCAGGAGCUGCACCCAGUGAAAUAAGGGAAGCAACUGUGCGUUCUCUGAUGUUAAAGAAAGUUGAUAUCAGUGGAAGCCAGACAGACUAAAAUAAGUACAUAAUUCAUAAUACAUAGAUAAGCUAAAGGAAUAAGUAAUAUUUUUUUGUCUCAUAUCAUUGUACCUAAAACAACCAUUAAAAGGUAUUUGCUACCAUAGGAACCAUUAUUUUUGGAAGCCUAUUUGGGGCAUCUACUACAAAGUUUUUUUGCAAGCUCCAUUUUACUAAUAAUUCUUUCCUUCUUCAGAUAAAUUCACACUUAAAAUAUACCUUCAGCCUAUAUACCCUUUCUUGUGUAAAAAUGGUCCAUAAGCAAAAUAUUUAAAAAGAUGAAAAAGAAAAGAGACAGAGAGGAAAAUUCUACUUCAAUUUUCAAGUUGCACACCUGCCAUAAGAUGCUGCCCAAUGAAGUGCAGUCCAUCCAUUCACAUCCCGGAAGUUAACACUUACACCAGCAACUAUAGUGGGCUCUAAGGCCCAAUCAUAGCCAAGAGCAGCUGCAAAAUGUAUGACACCUUGGCCACCGUCAUCCAAUAUAUUAGGGCCUUUACCACCUUCAGCUACCUUCUGCAAGAGCCAUACACGCAACUUCUCUUUCAGUAGCUUCUGAAGCAGCUGCUCCUUCAUUUUUUCUGGGGAAAUCUCUUCUGCGGAGUUAUGCAUCAACAUCUGAUCCCAUUCCUUGAUAUCCUCUUUCAGCAAUGAAUUAAUUUCAUCACUCAACUGGGACACAUCAGCUACAUUGUAGGUAAUAGAAUACGGAGACCUGGAGCCAAGGCACAACAAUCUACCAAAUCGCAUGUCAAGAAUUUCAUUGGUAUUACUGCAAGGGUAAUCCAUAGUUUCCAUAUGAUUGACUCGGUAUUCAAACUCUCGGACUUCACUACAAGCUAAUCUGUUGGAGCAUGUAACAUAGAAGGGAACCCUGCCAGCCUUGUGUAUUGGAGUGUGGCAACGAAGAACUCCAUCUGCUAUAACCUCUGCUGGAACUUCUACUUCCCCAAACAUGCAUGACCAUUUACAAUUUUCGGCCUCAUCUCUACUCUUCAGGAACCUUCCCGUGAUGAGGACCUGUGUGAGUUGUGGAAGAAAUUAGGGAAAAAGAAAAGUUAAAACAUAAGAAAACGAAGAGUUUUUACAAGCCAUUUCAUUUAGGAACUAAUUCAUCGGUAUUUCCCAUCAUCAGUAAAUUGUUGAUAUUUCAAUGCUUGCUUUGCAUAUAAAACUUUUUACAGCUUACCUUGAUUUCCGAGCCUACGUAUGCCCAAUUUGGCGAAAAAUCAAUAAUGCUGAAAAGCUGAUCCUGGGAUAAGGAAGGACCCAGCAAAAAGGUAUCCAGUUGCCCUUGAGAGGGAAUAGUGGAAACAUCAACCCCAUUUUGACCUUCAACCGCAUCCCAGUAGGCCCCAGAACUGGACUGCAUAUGUGAUUCAUCUACAUCUCCAAGUUCUUUACUCAUCCAGCGGUUGAAACUAUCAAGCUUCUUCAGACCUUCUUCCACUAAAGAACCAUCAAACAAAUGCUGUCUCAUAGCAGAAGAGUUAAUGGAUUUUCCCUCUAGGGUCAAAUGGCUCUCUGGAUCUGGUUUAAGCGCGUAUCCAUGCUUUCCAUUUGAGGGCUCUAUCUGUUCGUUAUUUUGCAUAGAGUUAUCAUGUUGCUUGUCUGGAUGCACAUGGUGAUUAACUUCUUGUUCAUGAAAUCUAAAAGUAAGAUCAUAUCUCAAGUCUGGAUGCAAUUUCUGAUUCAAUGGCCACUUUGAUAAAUGUGAAGAAUCACCUUCAGAAGCCUGUUUAGAGGGCAAAUUAAAACCCAAGAAGUAAUUAAUUGGAAGAAGAAAAGGUAGCAUAUAUAACCAGCCAGAUGCAUGAAACUGCAGCAAUGCAACUACAGCAUAUCAAACUAGGUUACAGGUUUUAAAGACCUGUGUGUGCAAUUACAGCUGAAAUGACCCUAACUGCCAUUAUUAUUAUUAUUUUUUGAAUGGCAAUGCAAAAAGAAUUCCGUAAUAACCAAGUUAUUGCAAAGAUUACAAUCAACCAAACCUAGCCAAGAUACAUUGCACAAGCAGCCCCAAAACAAAGAGGAAUUAAUAGAAUGAGAACUAGAAAAAUUUCAAAGAUUACAAUGACCCUAACUGCCAUUAUUAAUGCUUUUUUUUUUCCUAAAAAUAUUGCAAUUCAACUCUUAGCCUUUAUUAAGCAAGAAUUUUCAAAGCCAUUACCACAGAUAACCAUCGCAAAGAAGAAUUCAUCAUUUUGGAAAUUACCACUUCCACUUGGAAUUUACAUAUGCUAAACAAGGUAAAUCACUCCAUUACCUGCCAUUCUUCUUGAACAGGUGCCUGAUUGUCAAACUCCUGCUUUGUAAGAAAGCUGUUAUUGAAUAGCUGCCCCAUGGUAUCACGUUGUGUUGAGGAAAAUGGUGGUUGAUGUUGUGCAGAUUCAACCCCAGGAGUACAAUUUUCCAACACAUCCUCCCACGAAGUGAAAUCAAGGUUCUUCUGGGGCUCAUAUGUUAAUCCAGCAUCAUUAUACUCUCUACUCUUGUCUGGUUGGGUAAGUUGAAAACCAGUGCCUGAUGGCUUUCCAUGAUAAUCAUCUGUUAGCAGUAAAGAUUAGUGGUUAGCAAAACCUGAAAGGCCAAAGUUAACACUAAAAAUGGAAUAACACCAUGUCAAACAACUAGCGUACUUGAAUGUGACAGAGGAACAUAAGGAUCAGAGAAUCCAGAAUCAACCCUCCCCAUAACAGGUUGUUGUAACUCAAAAAAAGAGUUGAACUGUGAACUUGCUUGAUGAUUAUAGUCUGCAUCAGAUCAUCUUCAUUGGUAAGAAUAAGAAACACAAUAAUACAUUAUUUAUCUUCAAAGUGAAGUAAUGACUUCAAAAUUACACAAAAUUAGCACCUUAUGAUUUAUUAGGAAUUUGAGCCAUAUUUAGCUAAAAUAAACACACCUGAUUCGGCAUCUUCAUAUUCCGAUGCCUGCACACUGUUCAGGCUUGUUGUAUCUGUUGUUUUUGAAGGAAUUUGACCAUUAUUAGGAUGAAAACUGGAAGACACAGAACUUUCCAUCUCAGAAUUGGGUAGACUUCCUUCAGUUUCUUGGGAAUAUGGAAUAGCUUCUUCAGUCUCUUUGAUGCGGUUAAAAUUUGUCCUAUUUCCCUGACAAAUUUCAGAAAGCAAAAACAGAAUAUUAAAACUAAAUGGCUCUUAAUAGGAACUGUUUAAGAAACUUAUUGAUAACACUAGAGAAUGAGACAAAUGUUGAAUUCAAUCAACAAUGUAAAACACCAGGUUCACAGUUAAAAGAUGUAUAUGAUCAUGUACAAUUUCAUCCUGUGAUGCCAAAGACCUUUAAGGUUGUAGAAAUUAUUCAGGACCAAUGUUUUAGUAUGUGUUGUUGUUCAGAUGCUAAUGCUCUUUAAAAUGAGCCAACGAUAAAGAAAAGGUGCGAAAAUGUAGAAAAUAGCAGCCUGUAUGCUCCCUCAAAAGCUGUUUAAGAAACCUUUGUUUUCCUGAUUCAGGAAACAAUUGGAGUAAAGUGGUAAAGAAUGGCUAGUCCCAUUACAAAGGUGACAAUUCCAACAGCCAAUGCAAGUUGGUCCAAGUUGACGGCACCAAAAAGACAGUAGAAGAUGGAAGGAAGAAAAAGAACAGCGUUCAAGGCACAGAUGGCCAUACAGCUUAGACAGAGAUAGCUAAACAAAUAAAGAGGGAGAGAGGGGACAAAUAGUGGGGAUAGCAACAGAGGAAGUAUAAAGUUUAUAUGCUUAUGCCCAAAUAGGAUAAGACUCUAUUCAAUUAAGCAUAGUAGAGAACAAAAGCUAACAUGAAUCACCAGCUAAUGUAUCACUAACUAUAUAUGUACAAACUCUUAGAUAACUCGAACUAAAUAUGUAAAAAAGUAUAAACUAUAUGAUUUAUGAUAUAUCACCAUCAACAUAAAACACAGUACAAAAAGUGAUCUUUAUCCUUAAUCAUAGCCAAGAGCACAAUAUUUAGGCUGGCUGAAAUUUGGCACACUUAAUUAAACAAUGAAGUAAAAAUAAAUGUAAUUGAAUGCAUCAACUUUUUUAGGACAUCCAGACUGUACAAGUUCAAUACAUCCUGAAAAGAAAAGGCAAAAAAAAAAAAUGUUGGGUAGGUAAUAUUGAUAUUUCUGCACCCAGACUAUUAUCUAAAGUAGACAUAAACAGCUUUAGAUUUCGAAUUGCAAUCAGCCAAAGAGCCAUGUUAAUGAGUUAUGCCAUAAAAAAUCAUAAACAAACUUUUUCCUUAAAAUUCUUUCUAAAGAUGAUGGAUAAACGGGAGGAAGAAGAAAAUUGUGAUAGAAUAAGGUCUGACCUUUACUUCUCGAUAGUGAACUAGAACAAUGUGUGAGAGAUCCCUACACACAGUAGUUAAUUAUGUCAGCGACCAAAGAGGGAGCUUAAUAACAAGCCCCUCCAUAGAUUAAUACUACAGCAAAGAAACUAAUUACAAUUUCAAGCAAAUAGCACAUGCAUUUCAGAACAAACAAACAUGAUCCAUAUUAGUAGAAUUGAUUGCUGAAAUUAGCAAUCGCCACCAACUUUAACACAUUGCUUGUCAGAUAUUCUACUACCAUAAAGCAAAAAAACACCAUGAAAAUACAAGGAAUCUUAAGUUUAAUAUUGCUUUAUGUGAACCUCGUCAAAAGGAACAGAUACAAAUCAAAUUUUGAAUACGUUUUCUUUAUCUCAAAGCAGAACUUCUCACAUUUUAAUUAAAUAUAAAAACUAUCUUUGUGAUGGAACUAAUAAAUAAAAAUUUCUAAAUGCAUGUAAUAUAGAACCGUCCUAUUAACAAACAAAGAGAGAAUACAUGGGCAGAGUACAGGCUUUUGCAAAAGGAAAAAAAUUCUAUAAUGUGAGCAGAGUUGCCUUUGUGCAUCAGUUUAACUAACAUGAAAUAAAUUAAAUCCUAGGUUCAAGUUUUCAUAAUAGAAAAAUUCAAGAGCAAGGAAACAAAGGAUAACAUGAAUCUUCCAGAUAGGAUUUCACUGCAAAAAUUUUAGAAUAUUAAUUUCUCCACCACCUACCUUUAGACAAUCAAACUCCAUAGAACUUUACAGAGGAAGAUUUUUAAAAAAUCACAUUCAACUAUUAUUUCAUUGAAUACAAGAACUAAUCAUCAAAGCUUAUUCCAUAGCUAGCCUAUAAGAUAAGUAACUAAAACUGAGUAUUUUAUUAUUUUAACUAAGACAUAACAACACGUAUACGCACACACAACAUUGUGAAAACAUCUACGACCGCACAAACUUUUAAAGACUCACUCUUCAAGCAUCCAAUAACUGCGUCUUUGAAAAUUUUCGUUAUCUUCUCCAUGAGCAUAAUAGCAAUGCAGAACAUCAAUGCUUCCAGCCUGAAAAGAUUUCCAUUUGUCCAAAGUUUUUCACUAAAAGCACAGAAAAUUUCAUACGAAAUGUGUUCCCUCUUCCCCAAAAGAAUCAAAUUAUAAAAAAAAAAUGUACAAGCAAGUUACUAGGGCAUAGCUGCAUAAUAUCAGCUUUAGAGGGGUGCCUUCUUUCCAAAAAAUGAAAAACAAGAUGAGCCAGAUUCUUACCUUGAGUCUCUCAUGAGCUUCCUUCACUGUUUUGCCAUCCUUUUUCUUCCUCCAGUUAUGGCCAUCCUUUCUAAAGUAUCUCAGCACCUUUCGAUCAAAAAGAAAAAGCGAACCACCUGAAAAUGAGACGAAUCUUAAGUUUGGAGAAUUCAAUUUGGUAUCUGAGCACACGUAGGACACACAAUCAAAGCAACUAUAUAUUAUUAGUAGUAUACAUGUUUAUGCUCAUUAUGGGAGAAGAUGAUGAAUCAAACCCAAGAUAAGUAAUCUUGAAUAAAAAAAGUAUUAAGACAAGCCCUAAACUGUAAAUGAUUUGGUUAUCCAUAAUCUACAAAUUAUCAGUUAAAGAAGAGGUCAACUUAAUACCCAAAUACACAAAGCUUUUUUUUCUUUUUUUCUAAUCAAAAAUCAAAUAUCAGUAGAUUUUAGGAACCAAUAAGCCAAUAAUAUUUAGAGGUCAACAUAGUAAUUUAAUUUCCAAGAGGUCAGCAUAAAUGGUUGUAUGUCUGAAGCACGAUCCAAAUCCCAAUACAAUACCUAAGAAACAGAAUAAAAUAAUUGAAAAGGAGAGCCCCUCAAAAGAAUAUUUGAUAAAAAGAAAAUGACCACUGCAAUUCCUCAAGUUAAAGAUAUCUCUAGGAAAUGUGAAUUGAAACCAUAUAAACAAACAGAACUAGAAAAUUAGAAGGAAUUGGAAAUGGGGAGGAAUGAGUAAACAAACAAUCAACAAUUAUGAAAUACAUUCCAAAAGUCCUAAUCACAAAAGAUCAUGCAAGCAUCACAAAAAACUAAGUUACAUUUUAAUGUAUGGACAGCAAAAUUUUUGACCUUAUCAAGAUAAUUAUCAUCAUGUAACAGCAUGAACCGUCAAAUGCAAUUAAAAAAGUUCAUACUUGGUGGCAUAUGUGCAGGUUCUGGAGCAAUGUGAAAUUUCUUAUAAUCUUUAAGAAUUUCACAUAUUUCAGCUGGCCUUAGCCACCUGUGCUGUGCUUCCAUUAGUAUCUGCUCAAUAUCUGCACCAUACAAGAUGAGAGUUAAUGAAAAUCUAUGCAUAUAACUUAAAAUCAACAAGUACAAACUGCGAAAUAACUCAAACCCUCACAUUAACUUGUUAAAGUAAAAGCUACUCCUAAUGCCAAGAUAAUACACGUUUUCUAUACAACAAUAUCAUCACAUUAUCAUUUCCUUUCGAAUUUUGACCCUAAGUUUCUUCUUUUUCAAUAAAAAUUGAAUACCCUUCUUAAAUACUUUUUUGCAGCAUAAAAAAUACUCAAUUAAGCUAAUACUCUUUUUAUCAAAUCAAAUCUUGCAAACAAAAUGCAAUUAAAACCCACCUCAUAAACUAAACAUUAAUAUAGGUAUAAAAGGACAAAGUUUAACUGUAAAUUGAACCAUAAAAAAAAGAAAGCAGUGGAAAAAACCAAGCAAAAUUUUACUUUCACUAAAAACCCAAGUGAAUAAUAACGCAAAAAAUUGAAAAAAAAAAGAAGUAAGAGGAGAUAGAAGAGUCAAUUAUAUACAUACCCAGUUGAUUGCUAAGGCCAUAGUGCCUAGUCUCUGCCAUAAUCUUUAGUUUCUUUCUCUUUUCUCUUUUAACUAUCUUUCUUAGCUCAAAAAAGUGAAGUUGGAGGCCUUUACGAUCCGUUAAAGCUAUAAGAAAAACGCGGUUUUUCGAGAAAAGAGAAAGUGGGUAAUCAAGGAAGCGCACCCUCAAGGAAAGUUUUAAUUUGCCUUCUUAACAAAAUACCAAAUAUUGAAAAUUUAUUGUAGCAUAUACAGGAGAAAGAGAGAGGAAAUGGAACUAUCAGCCAGGAAUCAACGUGUUAGUCUUUCAGUUCAGUUUAGUCCACUCUUUGACGUCUGUUCCGGGAUACUUCUUUUACUGUAGUUUUUAUUUUAAAUAUCUUCCCUUCUUUUUCCUUUUCUUUAGAAUACUCACCCGCAUUUUUUUAAUAUUGUUUAAUUAGGAACUGUAUUAAACAAAAAAAUUUUCCAAAUAUCAUAAAAUAAUAUAGCUGAUUUUAAAUGAUUAAAGAAAGAUAAUAAAUUAGCUGUGUCUCAACUUUCACUUGUGAACAAUUGUCACUUGGACAUAACCACUUAGCUCAAGCAGUAAUAAUGGGGUUGGAAUUAAGUAGAAAAUUUAACUUCCAAUCAAAACGCUAACUCCUAAUCUUUUAUACUAAAAAGAAUUUUUCAUUUAGUUAUACUUUUUUUUUUUUACAAUUGAGGGAGGGAGGAUUCGAACCCUAUUCUUAAGACAAUAGAUUAUAUACCAACCAAUAAGCUAAAUACUCGAGGGCUUAAUUUAAUUAUACUUAUAAUGUAUAAUAUUUGAGAAAGUCUGUGAAUUAUUUAUGAAAUUUUAAAUAAUUUCAAAAUUAUAAAAAGACUAAAGUAUCUUUUUAUGUUAUUAAUUUAAAAAUUAUUAUUAUAUAUAUAUUUUUAAAAAAAGAGCACGAUUGGUGCUCCCCAACUCCCCAAGAAAGGAAGCCCGAUCGGAGCUCCCUAGAUUAGAGAGUUUUUUUUAAUUAAUAAAAAAAUAAAAUUAAAUAAUAAUAAUUAUAAAAAUUAAUUAAGGGUAAAAUUAUCUUUUUACUCUUACUACAUCAACUGUAGACACAAUUUCAAUUUCAAUUUAUAUGUAUUUUUAUAUUGCAUUUGUUUUUACUAUUUGUCUUUACCUUAUUUUACUUUAAUAAUUUCACAAUUUAAACCCAAUUUCAACCGGUUUUAAAAUGGAUAUUAAUUCUUGGGUUUGUGGCCCAGAAACAAGUCCAAAAGAGGCAAUUAGAGGAAAAUCGAAUUAAACAAAAUCAAAACAGACAAAAUGAUGAUUAAAGCAAGAUUAGUUAAAAAACUUUUCAGAGGACACAAAUAACAGAACCAAAAAGGCCAGCUAGCAAAAAACCAAAAUCGUAUAAUGCAAAGAGCUCUGCCAGGAGCAUGAAAUUGCACCUAAUAGAGGUGAAAUCAUUGUUGUUCAAUUUUCUACUAACGCAAAUGUACGUAUCGCAAAGAUAAUAUAGAGAUGAGUAAAGUAUCAAUCCCACAGAUAAUUAAAUUAAUCUUUAUAGUUAACUACUAAAAUUAACAUACCUUAAUUUUAUCUAAACAAUUAAAAUUAAAAAGAAAAAUUUUAAUUAAUAAACUAAUAACAAAAACUAAAACUUAAUCUAAAAUCUAUAAGCAAAUUUACUUUAUUAAAUUUGAAUGACUACCAGACCUAAGAUUAUGAUAUCCCUCAAUACUUUAUCUAAUUAUUACCUCUCUCUCUCUUAACUCAGUUUAAUGGAUUAAGUUGCUAACCUAUAGUCCUAAAUUAUUUACAAGUCUCUGUCGAAUUUCUUAUAAAAAUACCUUUCCCAAAUAAUUUACUAUAUGUCUAUGCAAAUUAUAUUAAAGAAAUAUUCAUUAAGUUUGUGCUCUAAUUUUGGCUACGUAUGGCUUAUAGAUGUAUGUCUAUCCUAUAUGCAAAUCAAAUCAACUAAGUGUAUUCGAUCAUACGCUAUUCUAUUCAAGGUCUACCUAAAUCUCCUUCGUCAAUAUUUAACCUAGGUUUCUAAUUCAAUCUAAUUGGUGGCCAGUCAACUAUAAGCAUUAAGAACAUAAUAAAAUAAACAACUUAAAUCCAUCAAAUAUAAGUAAAAGAGAGAUAAAUAAUUCAGACUACAUAUUGAGUUUAAUCAUAAUCUUAAAUUAACAAUUUAAUUCUUCAUCAAGUCAUAUAUCAUCAUUGAAUAAAAUUUACAUAUUAAAACUAAGAGAAUAAAAGAAUAACAAAAAAAUAGAAAAAAACCAAGGAAUGUAUUCUUGAUCUCCAAAUCUCCUUGAAUUCUUCAAAUUCCUUUAAUGACUCUGUAGCUUGACUCUCAGUUGUCAAUCCAGUGUUUUCUUCUCUUCCCUUGAAGUUUUCCUAAAAGUUGUUUUUAUAGACUUUAAAGUUAAGCUAAAUUGGGUGAAGAAAGAAGUCAAUUUCAGCUGGGAUGUCCUCAUUAGACUCUGUAAGUCACAGCAUUGCCCAAUUAAUUAACAGAAAUCAUAAUUGCUCUAAGACUACUACAAUGCAUCAACUUUUAAUAAGAUUUUUGACCAUCCUACAAGCUGAACUGGGCAAAGUAUAAAUAUAAAAGUUGUAGAUUUUUCUCUUAUCUUUCUAAUGGUCCAAGAAUUGCUUCAUUUGGAGUUUUGUAACUAAAGUUAUGACCAAAAAACCGAAAUAUAUGUAUUAGAAGUCUGCACCUUGAAAUUGCUCUUCUUCUUUCAUUAAAAUUCUUCUUUCAUCAAACACCUACAAAAGCUCAAUUAAAUUAAUAACAACCUAUCUUAACCAUAUUAACACCAAAUCAAACAUAAAAUUAACCACGAUUAGAUUGACUCACCUAAAAUAACUAAUUUCAAAUAAUUAAAUAAGAACUAUUAAUUUCUAUGCAUUAUUAUAAGAACUAAACUAAAUUAUUACCAAAAUUUAGUUCAAAUAACUCUAUAUCAUAGAGUUAUCACACCCGUAAACUUAAAAUUUUGCUAGUCCUCAAGCAAAAUAUAAACAAAAAAAAAACUAACUUACGAAAUUCAAAUUCACUUAAUGAGAAUUAACAUAAAUAUAGUUACUCCUACUACUACUAUUACUAAAGAUAACGUGCACCAACUCAAUGAUUUUUUUAUAAUUUUUUCAAAAGUAUGUCUAUUAAUAAUUAACCUAAUGAAACAUAUAGGCCUCAUUCAAAUUCAUGUUUCAAUUCUAAUGCAAGCAUAUUCUCGAAUGGAUUUCUGUGUGUGUGUGAAAUUUUUUACCAAGAAUAUCAUGACAUCCGAAUGAGUUUAUGCCAAUAUAAAUUUCAAAUUAGUACUAGAUUUUCAUAGAUUUACUUUUCAUCUCUCUCUGCACUAAUGUAGACCAAUACAAAGCUAGGGAUCAAUAGGACUUUAUAAAGCUUGUAAUGUAUGGCUAGGGUCAAGGUAUGAUAAAGGAUAUUAAUGUGGCUUAAAUCAUCCUAAGCACAUAAUUAUUAUAGGACCUAUAUAUAUAGAGCUCUAUUUUUCUUCUCCUAGUACACCUUUUUUUUUUCAUAUUUGAACUUUUCUUUCAUUCAACACAUUUUUUUUUUUCACAAUUUCAGACCUCCAAACUUAUUUUCUUUGCAUUGCAGGUAGUGGGGUAACUUUGCAUAUUUUGAAAUUUUUUUUUUCAUCAACGUCACCUUUCCACCUUUUUCAACAUUUAGUUCAAUUUAUAUUUCCUAAAACAAUAUACAUGUUUAGGAGUGAGGGUUGCAAAAUUGAAAUUUAAUUUUAAGGUUAAGCUCAAUUAUUAUGUAGUUAAACAAAGAAAAGAGAAAUUAGGCUCAAAAAGGGUAUACUAGGGAUAAAGAUUUAAUAAGAUUGACUUUUUAGGCUCAAACGGUCCAAAGAUGACCUAAAUCAUAUCCCUAACUAAGUAUUGCCUAAAAUUUCACCUCAAGAUAAAAUCAAGCAAAUUCUAGAAUUCAUGAUAUAAUAUAAAAUUUACAUCAAUAUAAACCUUCUCUAGAUAUACAAAAUAAUUCAAAGUAAAAGAUAUAGUGCUCAAAAUUGUGAAAAUCACAUCCCAACAAUGACACUUAACAAAAGAUUUAUCAUGAAUCCAAACAAAAGCCUUAUUCAUCAAAGGCUAAAAAUUCGAAACAACUAGUUAUCAUCAUUGGAUAAGAAAAAAAUCAUUGAAAAAAAUUGGCACAACUUUACUUCUAGAUUCCUAAGGUUCAACAAGAAAUAAAUUCUUUGACCAACUAAUCCUAUAUUAAUUAUAAAUACGCAUGCAAAUAAAAUUAGAGCUAAAACUUUCACAGAAUAUUCAUCAUCAGAAAAAUAAAUUCACCCCUCCAAACUUAAACUAAACAUGAUCCUCAAUGUUAAAAAAAAUAAAGAAAAUGUCAAGAAUACUCCCCUGAUGAUUGAAUGAAUUUUUUAAAAGCUCUAAUUCUCCUAUUUAUUGUUAUCAUCUUCAUUGCCACUUGGAGGAAUUUUUUUUUACUACAAAAAAUAAAUAAAUAAUGUAGAGAAAUAAAAUAAAUAAUAAAUAAAAUUAAUUGAAAAGAAAAUAAAUAAAGAAAAAGUUUUUUUUUUGUUGGGUAAUGGGUAAAUGGGUAGUCCAAAUAAGAAAAAGGAAUUGGGUUUAGUUAAUGGGCUACCCACAUAAUGGUGAGUAGUGGGUUGCCAAUUCAGAGGGGGGGGGGGGGGAGGGGGGGGGGGGGGCGUACCCCAUGUGGGAGCAGCGACCCACGUGCAAAUGGCCUCUUUUUUUUUUUUACGAAGCCGCGGCUCACGUUGUUGGAAGCUCGCUAAGCAGUAGCUUACCAUUCUUUUUUAAAUUUGUUUUUAUAAAUUUUUUUUUGAAAAUUUUUCUUUUUUUUUGAAAUUUUUUUUUUGAAAUAUUUAUUUUUUUACAUGUAAUUUUUUUUUGAAAUAUAUUUUUUUGAUAUUUUUUUUUGAAUUUUAAAAAAAAAAUUAAAAUUUUUUUAUGAACCUGCAUAAAUAAAAAAAAGUGUUACUAAUUUAAUAAUUAAAUAAAUAAAAAUAAAGUAAGUUAGAGUGCUUAGGUUGCCUCCCAAUAAGCGUUUUUUUAUAGUCAUUAACUUGACUAUGAUACCC